RNAcentral lists this long non-coding RNA (81693 nucleotides) under Setaria viridis. Its description in RNAcentral is "long non-coding RNA (SVIR_LNC008609)". The record is from RNAcentral. Lineage: Eukaryota; Viridiplantae; Streptophyta; Magnoliopsida; Poales; Poaceae.
UUUUUUUUUCUAUUUUUCUCCCUAAAGUAUUAGAGUUGCUCUAACACUUUGUCGCGGAAAAAAAAAAACUCACCGCGACCCGUAGCCUGCGGGUGCGAGGCGGCCCAGUGCCACGUCCCCCACCUCCCGCUCCUCCAUCUCCACGUCCAAUCAGUCAACCGCAACGAAGAACCAAACAAAUUCGCACGCAAAACAGAGCAAACUUGUCGCCCGUGGAUUGCCCAACCAGGCAAGGUCAAUGCAGUUCAGCAGCUGCGAAACCAGUCAGUGAGCCGCGAGCUCCCUCCCGAUCUGGCAGUGGCAGCCAUGGCCGCGGAGAGCUGCCAGUGCCACCCCCGCGGCCUCUCCUGGUUCGCCAGGUCCUGCAUCCCCGCCGACCCCGCCCGCCACAUUGCCGUCCCCGUCCCAAUCUCCGCCGCAUCCGCCACCAACACCAACACAGCCUCCGACACCGAGGAGUCCCCCAUCUCCGCGCUCCCCGACGAGCUCCUCCUCGAGUGCCUGGCCCGCGUGCCCCGCGCCUCGCUCCCGCCGCUCCCCGCCGUCUGCUGACGCUUCGCCACCCUCCUCGCCUCCGAGGGCUUCCUCCACCUCCGCCGCGCCCACGGCCGCCUCCGCCUCCGCCUCCUCGCCGUCUCCGUCUCCUCCGCCCACGGCGCGGCCACAUUCGCCCGCGCGCUGCUCCAGCUCGGCGCAUCCUCCCGCCCCGACGUCGAGGUCGCCGCGCUGCCCCUGCCUCCGCCGCUCCUGCAUUGCGCGGGCUCCUCCUCCUCGGCCUUCGCGCACGCGCGCGCCGUCGCGCUGGGCCGCGACGUGUACCUCAUCGGCCGCGGCGCGCGCGUGCGCGCCUACGCUGUUCCCGCGGAAGAAGUUCGCGGCGGCGGCCGUGGGCGCGCGGAUCUACGUCGCGGGCGGGUCGGCGCGGAACACGGCGGUCGAGGAGUACGACCCGGACGCCGACGCGUGGCGCGUCGUGGCGGAAGCGCCGCGGCGGAGGUACGGGUGCGCCGGCGCGGGGGCCGGCGGCGUGUUCUACGUCGCCGGCGGGGUGGCGGUGUCCGGGCGCGCCGCGGGCGCUCGAGGCGCACGCGUGCGCCGGGUCGGUGGACGCGCUGCACGUGGCGUCAGGCGCGUGGGCGUGGUCGGCGCGGCCGCGGGCGGUGCCCGGCGGCGGCUGCGUCGUGGGCGCCUGCGGCGCCGGGGACGGCCACCUCUACGUGGUGGCGAGCCACGUGGUGGACCUAUCCUUCUCGGUGGAGCGGCGGUGGUGUCAACAGGGGUGGUGACGUCGGUAGAAGUGCCUGCGCCACCGCCCGUGCCCCGGGGCUCGGUGGGUCUGGGCACGGCGGUGCGCGUGGCGAUGGCCGGUGUCGGCGGGGACAGGGUGGCGGCGGUGGUGAACGUGGCCGCCGUGAGGGGCCGCAAACGGAGGCCGUGCCCCUCGCCGCGCAGGCGCGGUGACACAGAAGCAUGCACGUCAAGAGCAUCCCAUGGCCGUCCGGAAGCUUGGAAAUUUCCCUUUGCCGCCAUUGUGACGGAGUCCGACUCCAAGGCAGGGGAGCGACUCGGAAUGUCGGAUUCCAAUCUGCAGCCGGACAGGCAAUCCGAUUCGAUUGCUCCAAACCGAGUCGACUAGGCAAUCCGAUUCGAUUGCUCCAAACCGAGUCGACUACAGACCGACGAUCCGAACCGAGAACAACCCCAGCUGCGCGUCCUCUGGCCUAUAAAUCCAUGGCAACCCUCCCCUCCGGUACUCCAUUCAUCCAUCCACCCAUCACCUUCUCCCUUCUGCCACCGCCGCCGCUCUGAUCCCACUUUCCCAGGGUCAUGGAGAUGGCGGCGCUGGGCCCGGCGAUCUUCUCCCGCGGCUUCCGCUUCAACCCGACGCCCCUCGAGGCCGCCACCUACUACCUCCCUCGCCUCGUCGCCGGCGCGCCGCUGCACGAGGCCGUGCGCCCCGUCGUCAACCAUGCCGACGUCUACGGCUGCGAGCCCGCCGACCUCGCCCGCCAGUUCUGCCCGCUGCCCAGGACCGGGCACCGAUUCUUCUUCACCCACUGCAAGCUGCAGCAGCCGCAGAGGGCGGGGAAGGCCAGCAGGGCCACGCGCGCCGCCGGCUCCGGAUCGUGGCACUCGCAGAGCGUCAAGGACGUCGUGGACCACGCCGGUGUCAAGGUCGGCGAGAUCAGGAAGCUCCGGUACAAGAAGGGCGGCGAGUACACGGACUGGCUCAUGGACGAGUACUCGUGCUGCUUGGAGGACGCCGUCGUCGGCGACAGGCAGUUCGUGCUCUGCAACAUCUACGUGUCCCCCAGGGCCGAUCAAGGCUCCGCGGCGCGCCAAGAAUCCGCCGCCUUCUUCGCUCCACCUGCGCCUGCGCCCGUCGUGAUCGCGCAGGCUGCGGCGCCCAAGAGGCCGACGCCGCAGAGUGCCGAGCCGCCGUGCCCCAAGCGGAUGCGGGGUGCCGUCGCCCCGACGCCUCCGGUCGUGCAGCCGGCGGGUUAUUGCACGGCGUCCUUCGCGCCACCACUGCCGUACGUGCCUCACAUCGCCACUUCAGCUCAGCCUCCGCCGCCGCCAGUUCCGACCCGUCUCGCAGCGCCGCCGCUAAGUCGCUCGCUAGCGCCCACACCACUGCACCCGCGUUCGCCACCUCAGCAACAGAUGCCGCCGCCGCCGACUCUCCCGGUGGUACGUGCCUGCCACAUGCCAGUGCAAGCACCGGCACGUCACUGCCAGCCGCCUCAGCCGUCCGUGCAGAAGAAGCAGAGCACACGCGAUCCGUUUGAAGCCGCUGAGCUGGGAGACGAAGCAGAGGAGGAAAGGGUGGCAGCGCCUGAUCCCAAGGAGUCCCCUGCAGCGCUUGUUGAUCAAGAUGACGACUGGGCCGAGUUGGAAAAGUGCAUGGACGACGCCGUGCCAACAGCCGAGGGCUCGACGGUGAGUGAGGACGAGAUGGACCAGACGAAGCAGAGCACGGACGAUCCGUUUGAAGCUGCCGAACUGAGAGACGAAGCAGAGAAGGAAAGUGUCGCAGCGCCUGGUCCGGCACAAGAUUUCGACAUGGACGAGUUUUGCAGGUCACUAGAAGGAAAUGGCGACUUGGUAAGGCUCUUUGAGGAUGAAGACAACGUGCUGACAGCCGAAGCAGAGGAGGAAGCAGCUGCCAACUCUGAGGGCUCAACGAUGGCUGAAGACGCGCCUGAUCCAUCGUCCAUGGAGCAGUCGCCUGCGGCGGCACAAGAUUUCGACAUCGACGAGUUUUGCAAGUCAGUACAAGACGACAUAUGGGCAUGCGAGCUGGACCACUUUGCAUGCUCUUUCGAGAACGAAAGCUUCUCCUGGGAGUAUGGCAUGGGUUAGGAAGAGAUCCAGGUUGCAACUGGAUUGGGAAGGCUUGAUGACUGACGACAGCAAGAGCAGUAGCAGCUGCACAAGAGCUCCAUCCAGAAGAAGGAUUGCGGAAUUUGUAAACUUUUCUGCGGAUGAAAAUAAUGUUAUCCUUCCUAAAUGUAACAACUCUGCGUGUUGAAUUCAGUUUGGGCAGUCUUGUGGUAGCAUACAUAGUAUGUUUUUGAAAGCUCUGGUUCCAAAUUUGUUUCUGCGGAUCAGGGUCUUAGCAAAUUCUGUAACCUGCGUGCAAUAGCUAUUGGCAUUUGGCAACACAUUCUAAAAUCCUCUUACCCUACGUUCCUUAUCAAACUGAAAAUACGAACGCUAUCUCUUGGCUGCAAAUCGAAUCUAUCCAUCUCUCCCGUCCCCUUCCUGCGUUCCGGCCGGCGGCGGCGUGAGCGUCGAGGCGGUGGUGGCCGUUGGACAAUUCCAUGUCAAUUGGUUCGGUAAAUGAUGGCACAUUUCUCUUUCUCAAUUUGUUAGCUUGAUCUGAGUCAACUUUAGGUCGCUUUUGGUUACAUUUACUUAUUUGCACCGUUACAUCGAAUGUUUAGGUACUAAUUAGAAGUACUAAACGUAGACUAUUUACAAAAUCCAUUACAUAAGUGGAGGCUAAACGACGAGAUGAAUCUAUUAAGCCUAAUUUAUUUUUUGAUAAAACAGGAGGGGAAAGCUGGUUAUAUAUUAUAUGUAAGAAAAGAAGAGCAAAGAAAUUAUCCAGUUUAUCUCAAGAAACAAAGAAAGAGAGAAAAAUCAUAAAGAUUACAAUAUAUGCUCUAACCAUUCUAACAUUGAUUGCUUCCAUUCCUCUUUUACGCGAAGGACAACCUGCGUAAAGACAGUCUUGAACCUCAACAUGGCACUAUAGACUGAUGGAGUGAUUCCUUUGAAUAUCCAGUCAUUCCUUUCCAUCCAAAUACACCAACUCAUGAGAAUAAUGACUUCCAUGAAGAAUUUAACUUGAAGCUGAAUUCUGAAGCUAUUGAGGAUAUUAUAGGGCUCUUCUGUCAAGUUUACAAACAGGCUAAUAUUGAUCCAACAUUCCUGAGCAAAAGGACACUCAAGGAGAAGAUGGAACAAGGUUUCUUCUCUAUUAUGCGUGCAUAGGUGUGACGACUGCCCAAAUCUUCGAGUUAAUCUUAAUCUGAGUCCCUGAUCCCCUGUCUCAGCUUUACCGAGUUUAAGUACUCAACUUCCGACCCCUGAGAUCCGACCCCUCUCCACCGCUCCCCAGUUCCGACCCUGCCGACCCCAAACCCAUACCGCCGGAUCCUUUUAAGUCUUCCCACCGUAUCUCUCUCGAUCUGAGCAGUGGACCAACCGAGACUGACCGGUGGACCCACAAAAUCUUUUCCCCAGAUCUUCCACGACAGACGCACUCGAGUAGCAUGCCCGCUGCAGAGUUCCCCCACCGCGUGGCCCAACCCUUCCGACCCCCGUCGCUCCGCCCCGUCGCCGGCCGCGACCGGAUGGAUAUCCGCGCCCCCUUCCCCAAUCGCAGCGGAAGCCCUCUGCAACCCUUUCUGCAGCACCUCGCCGCUCGCGCCCAUCAUCACCUCGCCGGACCCCCAACUGCGGAGCCCAAUUGUAAUAAAUGCCAUUUGGAAUAAUAUGGUAAUCAUGAAAAAGUCAGAAGGAAAUUCAAAAGAAAAAGAAGGAAAAAUGGCAAAAAGAUCAAAUUCGGCAAAAAUUUGAUCGAAAUUUGAAUUUCAAAUUUGAAAUUCAGAAAAAUUUGACCAGUAUGUGGAAUGCAAGUAUGAGAGUAUUCGGAAUUGAGAAAUCAAAAACUUAGAGUUAAAUUGAUGCCAAUUAUUACAAAAGCAUCAGAGAAAGAAGAAGAAAAGAGAAAUUCCGUUUACUGUUCCUCGUCCGACAAUAGGUUCAGAGAAAACAGCUCCAGAGUCUGUUUUCAAAAUUCAAUUCUGAAGAAUUUUCCAACCAAGUGUACCAGAACAACUAUACCAUGUUGAAAUAUAAACUUUGGGCUGCAAUAAUCAUGUGUUGUUGGCCAAGAAUAGUAAAAGGAAGGAAGUCAACCUCGAGCUCAAAGUCAGCACAAAAUCACAAAUGACUGAAACUCUGAAAUUUUUGCUAAGUCUGAAUGACAGUGUGACCUCAACUUUGGGAUUGAAUUCAGAGCCAUUUAAAUCAAAAGAGGUACUUGUUCUUGUGCAAAAUGGAAACUUGGGAGAUCAUAGAACACAUUUGAGAAGAAGUUGGACUGGAAAAACAAGACUUAAGUCCUUAAAUUGGUUCCCAAAUUAAAGUCCAUGUCACUGUCGAACUGACGAACAGCAAUUGCAAUUCAGUCGACAUUCAGAGCUAACCCGAGCUAAACUUCAAAAAUUCAGUGAAUUCGAUCUUUAUCUCAAGUUGACGCCAAAAUAAAAGAUGAAGGCCUUGAGUUUAUCCCCAAGUUCUGUUUAAGCACGAGCAGCCGUCGGAUCAAGGAUCAGCCGCUAGCCGCUUCUGAAGAUCGCGGGCGCCAGAAGACGGUGACUGAGCACCAGGACGUGUCGCCACCGCCGUCGUCGGUCGUCCGCCAGCGCAGCUAAGCUAGGCCACCUCCUCGCCACAUACGCCUACGGGUAGGCCACGGUGUCACCCAUGCGCGCGGUGAAACACUUGAAUAUCUACCGCUCCCGCGCCGCCGUUUCACCGCCGCUCUUUUUACCGCCGCCCGUGCCUCUUCUGCCAGACACCGCCGCCAAGCAAAAUUCCACCUCCACACCGCCGCUCCCGUCGAUUCCUUCCAUCCACACCUCCGCCUACACCCCACCAGUAGCCCUACCACCUUGUUGCCCAGCUCCUUCGCCGUGACACCUUGUAUCGUCGCCGCUUCUGUCCGCCGCCGUCGCACCGCCCGCUCUCGGUGAGAACCCCUCGCGCUGUCUCUCUUCCUUCUUGAGCAGUCGUAGUCGAGUCCUUAGGGUCCUAGGAUGGUGUCGGGGUAGUCGUUUGAGUAGGAUGUGCCGUAGUCGCGAGUAGCCACGGCCGGCCGAGGGAGUCGCCGCCCGUCGCCGUGGAGGAGGUAGCUCCGGUCGUCUCCAGGGGAGCUGUCGCCGCGCGCGAGGUCGUGUAGGGUUAGGGUUUGUGUCGUCGUCGAGACCCGCCGCCGGGAGGGCGCCGGCCGGCGAGCCGCGCCGCCCCCUGUUCCGGUCGCGCUUUUGGCGGGAGGAGGAAGAAGGAGCUGUGCACCCGGGCCCGCGCGUCAGUGAGAGAGAAGGGGAGGGAAGACGCAGGCCGAAGCGGUGCGGCCGUCUUGGGCCGGCGUGUUGAGGCCCAGUGGCGCGCGCGGGUGACCCGAAGAGAAGAGGCCGGAGGCCCAGAGCAGCGUCACAGGCCGGCGUCGCGCGGAGAAGAAAGAAAAAGAAAAAGGGGCCGUGGGCCGGUGCUGGGCUACCAGGAGAGAAAGAAGGGGGGAAAUCGGCCCACGGAGCCCAUCGGGAAGAAGGAUAGGGCCGGCCGGUAGAGUGUAUAGGAGAGGUGGGGUCCGCGCCGUGGGGUCCAGGUGUUCGUGAGAAGGGGUAGAGAGGGGGUGAGUAAGAAAAGUUUUCCGGGGGAAUUUUCGGGAAAAGUUAGAUUUCUUUAGCAAAAUAAUUCGUUUAAAAUUCGUUUUACACCAUUUUAAUCACAGAAAUUUGUAGGAGUGUCCAAAAUUAGUGAACCCAAUUUUGUUAGGCUUGUUUUAUUUUCCUUUAUGCAUUAAAAUUUUUACACCCUAGGAAAAUAAUAAAAAUUUGGGUAUUUAUUUAAUGCCUUCCUUUUAAAGGUAAUUAAAUAAAUGCUUAAUAUUUAUAAAAUGUAUAAAAAUAUGAAUAAUACUUUAUUAAUCACAAAUAACCCUUAACUCAUAGGAAACUAGAUUUUUUUGAGUUAGAAAUUAUUUACCACAUUUAUCAAAAAAAUUAAAAGCUAUAGGAAGGGUUAAGUAAGAAAAAUAAAAAUAUAGGUUAAUCUUUUUAGAUUUCUUUUGUGUGUUGACUUACAACUUAUUCGUGAUAAGUCGUAUAGUCCUUGUUGGCUUGCAACUUUAUCAUGAAGGAAAGUUGUAUAGUCUGUUAUUUAAAAAGUUUGCAUUCUAACCCCUGCAUAUAUGUACCGUAGAUCCAGAAGCACCAGAAGAGGAUUGCUGGGAAUUUUCAGAAGGACCCUUGGAAUUCGACGAAGUGUUUGAAUUUGUCCCUUGUGAAGCAAAUCCGUCGGCUUCUACUAAUCUUUUUAACGAUCAAGGCAAGCCCCGGUGCAUUUAUACCUAUCUAUUUUGGAGUCGUUAUUUCAUGUGACUAGUUAUAGGUUAUUGGUUUAUUGCAUGCACUAAGUCUAGGAGUUGGAUGAAACCUAUUCUUGUGUGUGAUCAUGCCUUGAUUUAAGGACAUCUUUGCCACUUGUUCAAAUCUUAGAAACUACCCAAGUCUAGAAUUGCUUACUUGCUUACAUACUUGGUUUACCAACCUUAGGGAAAACUCUUAAGUCAUACAUGCUGCUUAUGAAAGAUAGUUUGGAGUAGAGGAUCAGACAGAAGCUAGAGAUGUAGUUCUGUCUACUAGAUUAAUUUGAUUGAGGACCGAUCCGUGUCUUAACUGCUGAUCAAGUGAUAACAUCUGAUCACUUACUGGGUAUGGGACCAGUAAAGCCCAGUAGAUUAGUAAAUUCUAUGAUCAGGAAUGCUCCGUACCCGCAUUUGACGUGCUGGAGAUUGGCAGGGGUGUAGCCUGAAACUCACAUGGGGAUCAGGCCAGACGUGGGGUCCCAUGUGGGGGUGCAUCCCUGGGUCCGGGUAGUUGUAUUCCUAAUCAUUGACUUUACUAAUCGAGAGGUUGUUAGUACGACCUGGACAAUCGUAUGAUGCUGGUGAUCGGGGUGCUCUCCUGCAGGAUGUAAAUUGAUCCGGAUCGCCGCAAUUCUCGGUUAUGAAUGCACUUGAUCACUGUUGAGCAUCGUAGUGUAACUCAUGUGAUAUAAAAUCUCCUGUUGCCAAGUAUUGUAUGAAUUAACAGUUAUGAUUGUUUUUACUUCUGUUAUCACCUAGAAUGGUUAGGUAACAACUUAACUAAACUAAAAGACAAAACUAAGGCCUUACUCGUAGUAAGCUUUUUCGGCAAAAACCGUGUCAACCAAGCACACCCAAAGGCUGACAUGCAUUCCAAUGAAAAACUAUUAUAUUGGUUAGUCGGGUAAGACUUGCUGAGUACCCCGUACUCAGGGUUUCCCCCUUGUGGUUAUCUUUCAGAAGCUACACAGGAAGCUACCGAGGAGGAGACCCCGAAGACCUAGAGUAUUGACCUGAGUCUCUCAAUACUCUAGAAAACCAUUCAUCGACGCAUCUUCUCCUAAACUGUUUAUGUUUAAUCUUAGAGCUUGUCUAACUCUGCAUCACUAAGUUUGUCUCAACUUAAAUAUUGUAAUAACUCGUACCUCUUAAUUAUGUAUGUAAAAAUGUAAUAUUUGUUGAUAUUAUCCCAUCGCGGAUAUUAUCCUGAUGUAUGGUGAUGAAACACGCCGUGGAUCUUUCGAGGAGUCCUAGGGACACUCGACGGACUACCGGACUUAUGCUGUUUUAGGUGCGUUUCGGAUAAUUGCUGCUCCGACAGCGAUUAGGCGCACUUAAACCCGCUUAAGUUGGGCGGUUCCGCCACACCAAUGCCUCCCGUCUUUUCCGCCGCCCCUCCACAGUCGCGCCGCCCGGACUGCGCUACGCGACGAUUCCUCCGUCGCUAAUCCACACCCCGGCCGCGACAGUCCCUUUCCCGCCCUGUCAGAGCAGCGCCCCGACAAUCUGUUGCUUCGCGCUCGCCCGCGCGACCGCAGCCCGCCUGUCUUCUCACCUGUGCGCCCUCGUUUCUAGCGCCAUUUCCCCGGUCACUUCCAUCAGAUCCACCGCACGACGACGCCCGCCUCCGCCAAAUCUCAACCACCGGCAAAACCGCGCCUGCGCCGCCCUGUCAUCGGUGCCCAAUGACCGCCGGUGCCAUCCCCGAAGUUCUGCUCCACCGCCCUCGUUGCUCAAUCACCACCCCGGCAGCGCACUCCAUCGUUCUUCCCGAUCUUCGCGCCGCCCCAACCCUCUCUCUCGUCCGCACGACUAUAAAAAGGAAUGCCGGAGCCCCGCCGGAGUUCCCGUUCGCCAUCGCUGCCCUCCCGCUUUGCUCCCAGUUCGUGCUCACCGCGCCACCGCCUAAGUUCCUGAGGAACUCUCCUCUCCGCUCCACACCAUUUUCCCCAAUCCGCCCAGCCUCUUGCUCCUCCGCACUGCGCGAGAGCUUGCUUGUUGUCCACAAGAAGCGCCGCCGCCGUCGGAGCACCGCCGGGCAUCGCCUGCCCAAGUCUGCUCUUUUCCGACCUCAAGCUUCACCUGUGAGACGAAGGUAAGCUGCCGACCCUUUUUCCGCCUCGUCCGACCCCUUCUAUCCGACCGACCCUUGUUCCGUCUCGCCCGACCCUGUCUGUUUCGCCGACCCUUUCUCCGCCUCACCCGAGGGCUCGUCUGUAUCUUUUUCCUUGAACCGAGGGUAUAUGCGUAAAACUUGGGGACUUCUCUGCGUUAAGUCUGAGGACCCCAGCACAUCUAUUCCUCUAGUUUAAGGGUCUGAUCAUAAGUUCCUUCCCAUCCAACCCUCAUAUCUUGAUCUCCACCAACUCAAGCGAACCUCCCCACCUUUCCGUAACUUGCCGCAAGUUUCUGGGCUCAAACUUGCAAGUGUUGCUGUUGAAAUAACCGUCUAAAUGCUAACCCAUGCAUUGCAUUCGUGUAGAGCUGCGUCUCGCCGACGGCUUCUACGAGUUGUACCCGGCGCCCGAAGAAGGAGUUGCAGCAGAGCUCCCGCCUCUAGAAGCCGAAGCCGCCCCAGCAGAAGACCUCUUCCCUUCCUCCUCGCUUGAAGGCAAGCCCCGGAUGCAUGAACCCCCUAUAUUUUCCCAAACUUGCGCAUGCCUUCUUUAUCAUGCUUGUGCAUUUACGUAUAGGAGUUGUUUGGAACCGUAGAUGCAUGACUUAGCUCCCUGAUCUGAACACUAGCUGUUGGACCAAGUAGUUGCUGUGCUUAAAUAGGAAGCGGUAAAAGUCGAGUGAUUUCCUGUCACUCGCGAGUUGUAGGAGUUGGUUGUUUCUCCUUCUGUUACAACUAUAAGGACGAUGGACGGGGCCGGGUUCUGGUUAACUUUUUGGUGGUCGGCUGAUCGUCCUGUCUGUCUAUGAAACUUGCUAAGGCCCGACAGUGGUGGUGUUCGUGAUCAAGUGUUGAAAGUACUAACCUCAUACUUAUUAUGGGAUGAGGAAGCCGAGUACCGGAUUGACCCUAGACGUGAGCGGUCGCCCCAUUGUCCUUGGAACGAAGUUUCCCCUGCGGGCGCACGUGGUGGCAAGUGUGGUCACAGAACGGCAGAGGCCGGGUCUGUGGAACAUUGCACCAAAGGGAAUGGGCCCGACACGGGUUAGGGGAUUGAUGGGGAAGGCCGACACAGGAAGCGACCCUCGGUGGUGCGCGGAUGUCGUGAGGUUAGGUUCACCAUGCAUGGUUAAAGAACUCGAAUCGAUUCGUCUGCCUCUCACAGUUUGAGACUACUUGAUCGCUAUGUCACCCUGAGUAAUAAAGGAAUCUGAUGAUGACAUGGUCUUGAUGAUGUUAUAUAUGUAUACCUUUUGGUUGGUUCUAUGUUUGCUUAGAGUAUGUUGCUAACUUAGACCGGAUAAUGAACUUAGAACCGGAGCUAAAACUUUGAAAAUAAGGAUCUACUUAGUGCCUUUGGCAAACAAACCCCUCAGCCAAAGAGCCUUGCAUGUCUAGAGUGGUGGAGUAGCUCUACUCCCUGUCGGUUAAGUCUUGUUGAGCUUAGUAGCUCAGCCUUGUUGUGGCUCUUCUUUUUUAGGUGAAGUUGCUGCUCUUGAGUCCUCCUCUGUUGGCACUUGGCCGCCCCAACUCCCUCCGGGUUGGACGGUUGAGUGGGAUCCCUCCUCGGACGGCGAGGAGAGGGAUCACUGAUGUCCUGGUUGGCCUCACCAGGGAUGUCCGACCCCGACGAAGUAGCUUCCGCUUGUUGCCUUACCUUCUGUUGUUUUCUUUGAACCUUGUAAAACUCUGAUGUUUAUUUUAGUGUUGAACUAAAUGGUCAAUUGUUUAACUCAGUGGACUUGUUGUAUUCUCUGGAACUGCUCACCUUCGUGUGAGUUUGCUAACUCGGUCCUGUUCAAGUGGUUAAAUCGGAUGAAAUCCGACGGCACUUCGUGUUAACUUGGUUAAGGCAUGAGUGUCGCAUAUUAGGCGACUUAAUCAUGUUUAAUCAAGCUAAUCCGAAGUGGAUCCACCACAGCUGGACACAGGAGUAAGAGGGCAAAUCCAUAUGUUUCCUUCGAAGAACAUUCCUUGUACUUAAUCUGUCUUUGAGAAGCAACCAGAAAAAGAAUUUAUGUUUGCUUUGGCAUUUAGAUUUUCAAAGCCACCGGAAAAUUGGAUGAACAUGGUGAUGUCUUGUUAGUGCUCUAUAUGCUUUUGAUGAGGAAAAAUGUUGAUUGCCCCAAAUAUAUGUCCAGCAGUCUUGCUCAUCAUUUAUGGAGAUAAAAUCCAAAUCGGCAGCUAAUUGUAGCAAUUGAUCCAUGGCUAGGGCUGUUAGAGGCAAGUUGAAGAGCUGUUGUAAAUCUGUUAGCACAUAAGCCUGCCUGAGAGAUAUGUUUUCCUUUCUAGUAAAUGAGUAAAGUUGUGGAUAUGCUUGAGCAAGAACCUUAUUGUUCCACAGAUCAUGCCAAAGUAAACAUGUUCGUCCAUUGCCAACUGUUACUGACGCUAAACCCUUAAAUUUGUCCAUGAGCUUGACAAUGUCUCUUCACCAAAAAGAUCCUUUUCUUACUUGUCCUGGCAGUCUACCAGUAGCAUAAUGUUUCUCCCAAAUCAGAUGAACCCAUGGGAUAUCUGCUUGAUUAAAGAAUUUGUGUAGGUAUUUUAGUAGAAGAGAUUCAUUUUGGGUUCUCAGGUUUAAAACACCAAGGCCACCCUCUUUCUUUGGCAGGCAUACCAGCUCCCAGGCAGCUUUGGGUGGUUGUCUAUUAUUUAUAUCAGAUUUUCUCCAGAGACAACAUUUUCUAUACUUAUCCACUUGUUUGUACACUGUCUUAUGUAAUAAGAAAGUGCACAUAUGAAACAUUGGCAUAGCUGUGAAGAUUGAAUUUGUUAACUGAAGCCUUCCUGCAUCUGAUAAAAAAUUUGAUGUGGUUACCAAUCUUCUCUCACACCUGGAUACCAUUGGUAGAAACUCUUCAAUCCUGGGUUUAGUGAGACCCAGGGGUAGCCCUAGGUAAGUAAAAGGGAAACCACCUGUAGCACAUCCAAAGGUUUGUGAUAAGAACUGCAAUCUAUCUUCUGUGAUAUUAAUAGGCACCAUCAUUGAUUUAGAGAAGUUAACUUUCAGACCAGUGGAUACUGCAAAAUUUUGAAGAAGCUGUUUCAAGUGUAGAAGCUAGUUGGGGCAGCCCUCCAUAAUUAUUAGGGUGCCAUCUGCAUACUGUAAGAUAGGGAAAUCUUGACUGUAUGCCAAAGGGAUAGGGAGGUGCAGAUGACCUUGCUCUUUUGAGAGGUUAAGUAUAGAUUGCAGGAGGUCAGCUCCCAAAACGAAUAAAAGAGGAGAUAGAGGAUCCCCUUGACGAACUCCACUCUUACAAAUGAACCUUUUCCCAGGAACACCAUUCAAGAGCAUGGAGGAUGUGCCUGAUCCAAAUAUCUGCUCCAUCCACUGGAUCCAUUUAUCUCCGAAAUCUUUCUGUUGCAUGAUUGACAGCAUAGCUUUGUGUUCAAUUUUGUCAAAGGCCUUCUCAAAAUCAAGCUUAAGAAUGACUAUCUCUUUUCUCAAUUUGUGGUAUAAAUGUAGAUACUCAAACGUCCAGGCUAAGCAAUCUUGUAUGGUUCUUGACUUAAUGAAACCAUAUUGAUUUGCAUGAAUAAGUGACUGGAUUACCUUUUGUAGUCUGUUGGCCAAAAGCUUUGUUAUAAGCUUCAUGGAUGUGUUUAGGAGAGAAAUUGGCUUGUAAUCUGUGACCUUUGCUGCACCCUCAAUUUUAGCUAUUAGAGUGAUAUAUGAUCCAUUUAUGCUUCGCAAGCAGACAGUGCCAGAGUGAAAAUCUUCACACAGAGAAUAGAAAUCUUGUUUUAUUAUGUGCCAACAGCUCUUUAUGAAAUUGGUAUUAAACCCAUCUGGUCCAGGGGCCUUGUCAUUUGGGAGGUUAUUGAUUACAAAGUCAAUCUCUUCGUGUGAAAAAGGUUCCUCAAGGUGGCUUAAGUUGUCAGUUGGAUGUAGAAGCUGUUGCAGAUCAAAGAGCAUGGAGUUAUACUCGGAGGUGCCCAAUCUUUCUUUAAAAGCUUCCCAUAAAAUUGACUCCUUCACUUGAUGCUGGUAUUGAGGAGUUCCAGAUGUGUCCUCUAGGGAUCUAAUAUAACUUUUUCUAUGCUUAAUGGUUGCAUUUGCAUGAAAGAAUUUUGUUGACUCAUCACCAAACUUUACCCAUUUAAUGGAUCCUCUCUGUUUCCAAUAGAUAUUCUGCUGUUUGAGAAAGCAUUGCAACUGUUCCUGUAGAAUGACUUUAAAAUUCCAUUCCAUGAGGGUUAAGUCUCUGUAUUCUUCAAUUGAUUCCAUAAAAAAUAAAGACAACUUCACAUUUGAGAUAAGAGACUUGAGGUUCGAUAGUUGAGAAUUCCAUGUUCUUAGAACCCUUCUAAGAUUCUUGAAUUUUUUAGUGAUAGUUUUUGCCUUGUCAGAUUCUUGAACCGGGACUGACCAACCAUGUGAGACAAUAUCCAUGAACUGAUCAUGUUCCACCAAUAAUUUUCAAUCUAAAAAUCUUACCCUUUGGGAUAUCUGUCCUUACAUGAAUGACACAGGGUGAAUGAUCUGAUGUUUCCAUCACCAAAGAGUAGGCUGAUGUGUUUGGGUGACUGAGAGUCCAAGAAGCAGAAGUAAAGAACCAGUCUAGUCGUUCCAACAAGGGUAUUUGUUGCUUGUUGGACCAAGUGAAUUGCUUGGAUUUUAGAGGAAUUUCCACUAAACCCAGAGUGUUAAUGGCAUCAUUGAACAUGAACAUGUCACUGUAAUUACCACCUGGUUUAUUUCUAUUUGAAGGAUCACGUAUGAGAUUGAAGUCCCCCACUACCAACCAGUCGUAAUCAUCAGGCAUUUGGAUGUGCUUGAACCAUUGAAUGAAGGCUAUUUUCCCCUCCACAGUGCAAGGACCAUAAAUGUUUGUUAGAACCCAUUCCCAAUCAGUAAGAUUUGAAGAUAACUUAACUGAGAUAGCAAACUGAUUCAUGAAAAUUAAUUCCCCAUAUAACACAGACGAUUUCCAGAUUAUGGCAAUCCCACUAGAGGCCCUUGUGACGGUAGAAACUCAUACCUAUCAAAGGAUGAGGGACAGAACUUUUUAAUAAAUAACGAAUCUAUUAAGCCUAAUUAGUCCAUGAUUUGAUAAUGUGUUGCUACAGUAAACAUUUGCUAAUGAUGGAUUAAUUAGGCUUAAUAGAUUCAUCUCGCCGUUUAGCCUCCAUCUAUGUAAUGGGUUUUGUAAAUAGUCUACGUUUAAUACUCCUAAUUAGUAUCUAAAUAUUCGAUGUGACACGUGUUAAAAAUAAGCAAAAGAACCAAACGCCCCUUAGUUGUGCUCAUCCAUAUAAACACACACAUUAUUCUUCCUGUCUGCCUUUUAUACUUUGAAGAAAAAUAUGAUGGUGCCCAUUUUAGGGUUUGUUAAUGCUGUCUGUAAUACUUGCAGGACACCCGUGAGACAGCGUUUGCCCUCAGGAAGUUGUCACUCACCAAGGCCAAAAGGUACCUGGAGGAUGUGAUUGCCCACCGUCUUUGUAUUGUGCAAGGGGCGCACCACGAGAGACGGCAUAGUCCAUGAGCUCCUGGAAGGUGCCUGGCCGGACGACCCUCAUCUCGAGCGGCCCGAUGGAGCCGUCAGCGACCCGGCACUGCCAUGUACACGGCGUUCAGGGCCUCCUCCAUCUCAAGGCAGCACAUGCCGAGCGUCUCCUUGCAAUGUGGCUAUGGCUUCUACCCCCUUGCCGGACAGCAUCUGCAUCAUCUCCCAGUAGAUCACGUAGCGCACUGGGAUGCUCUCGGUGUACGCCUGGCUGGUGUAGUCCAGCACGGCCGCGCCGCCAUGCCGCCGGCGGAGCAGCGGCGCGGAUGCGCGCUGCACCUCGGCCUCGUCGGUCUUGUCGGAGCCGAUGCACAGCAGCACGUUCCCGCGGCGCACGAACCGGAACUCCGGCGCGGCGUUGUGGAACCCCGUCACGCGGAGGACGUCGCCGACGCGGUACCGGUUCAGCCCGGAGUAGCUGGUGAUCACGACCUCGUACUCGUGUCCAGCCUCCACGUGCACGAGCUCCACGAGCUGGUUCUCAUCGCCUCGCGCACCGCCUCGCGCCUUGAGAUGCCGGCCACCGCCUCGCGCACCGACGUGUCGGAGACGACGCAGGGGCUUAGCUCACCGGCCUCGAUAUCGGCGGCGAGCUGCUCCAUCUGGAGAACACGUUGGCCGCCCGACGUGCUGGAGCUGGCCGAAGAAAAUGUUGUCAUUUUUUGUUUCUUUUCGAUCAAAAAUCCUUACAUUUCUUUCCUUCUUUCCUUCUAAAUUACCCAAGAGGUUAACAUGAUUGAGGAGCACAGGUCUUUGCGCGAGCUGCUAGCUGAUCCUGCCAUUCUUGUCCACCACUCGUGGAGGUCACCAUCAUGUUGCGCCUAUUCCCUCCGGUGCACUGUUGGGAUCGCUAGCUAUUCCGAGAUGAAUGAGUGAAUUUGCAGUCAGCAAAGAGGUGUAUCGCCGUUUCAGGUCGACUUCUGCAGAGGGGGCACGUUGAUUGGUUCGGCCAACCUCUUGCUUGUAGUCUGUCAGUUGUCCAUGGCCUGUUUUGAAUGACCAACCGGAAAAAUAUCUUGCAACUUGCGGGCGCCCAAAUCCGUCAAAUAAGCGUGUCAAAGUUUGUUGCCGCGAGCAAAGGCACUGAGCCGUCGGCAAUGCGCCGGAUGUACGGAUCCAGGUCCUCGUAGGUCACCAUGGGCACCUUGGCUCGGAAAGUGGCGCGGUCGGUGGCGGCGGCGAGGCUGCAGUUGCUGGCGAGGUACUCGAUCGGCGUCGGCGUUGCGGGCGAGGAUCUCGGCCAGCACGCGCUCCUGCACGGCGUCCACAUCGGCGGUCAUCUCCUCGAUGAAAUGAAGCUUCUCGGAGUCGAUCGCCCUCGCCGCACUAGUUGCCGGCGACGGUGCUGGGCUGGUCGACGCGUCGUCGUCGGUCAUUUCCGCCAUUUGAGUAAAAGGUGGAGCUGCCUGCACUGAAUGUCCGGAGAAGGACAAGAAAUGGUCUGGGAAUUGGGAUGCUGGGGUAGGAGUAGGACUAGAUUUUUUUUUUAUAGCGAAAUGGUUAGGCAUGGGACUAGAUGCCGCACUGGGACUAGUUUUUUUUAUAUUGUUAACGUGCUGGACGCACGGUGUAUUAUUUGGAUUUCCCGUUGGCGAUCCUACGUGCUCCACUUCGCCAAACACCAUGAUGACCCAAUCAACAAAUAAAGAUGCAAAUGUUGAUUGCUGCAAUCAACAAAUAAACAGGUGCAUGAUGACCCAAUCACCAUGACAAACUACACAACUUGUACUUGUACAGGCACAAGGACACAAAUUAUUGAUACACUGAUCGAUUCACAUGAACGGAAGCGUAGCUGCACGCGCUUGGGCUUUGCCAACUUCCUUCUCCUUUGGAGAGAAGCUUAGCAUUUCUGGUGCCCAGUCCGGCAAUGCCGGGCUCAAGUGGCUGGAGACGACGCGCGAGUCGAGCAGCUCCAUGAUUCGCGGCGCCGUCACGCACCGGGGGACCUUGUACUGCCCGGCGGACGCGCCACGGGAGACGGCCAAGUCCGCGAGCUCCUGGAAGGUGCCCGACCGGACGACCCGGAUCUCCAGCGGCCCGAUCGAGCAAAGCGCGACCCGGCCCUCCCGGUACACCCAGUUCAGCGCCUCCUCCAUCUCCAGGCAGCACCGAUCCAGCACGUCGCCGUCCACAGCAGCGCCGCCGCCGCUCUGGGCUCCCUUGGCCUUUAGCAGCUCCCAGUAGAUGACGUAGUGUCCCGGGAAGCUCUUGGUGCAGGCCCGGCUGGUGUAGUCCACCACGAUCGCGCCGCCAUGCCGGCGGAGCAGCGCGGCCGCGCGCUCCACCGCGCGCUGCAGGUCGGCCUGGUCGGUCUUGUCGGCGUCCACGGACAGCAACACGCCCUUGCGGCGCACGAACCGGAACCGCGGCGCCGCGUUGUGGAACCCCGUCACGCGGAGCACGUCGCCGACGCGGUACCGGUUCAGCCCCGUGUAGGUGGUGAUCACCAGCUCGUACUCGCGCCCGGCCUCCACGUGGGCGAGCUCCACGAGCUGGCUCGCGUCGCCACGCGCCUCGCCGUCGACGGGGAGGAACUCGAAGUAUGCCAUGAAGGGCAUGAUGGUGUAGGACACCUCCGACGGGUCGCACAUCGGGGAGAGGUUGACGCCGAAGGCGCACUCCGAGGACGCGUACAAGGUGGAGAAGAUCGGCAAGCCACCGCUGUAGUGAUUCAGGGUCGGGACGUACUGCGCCAUGGAGCCGGUGACGAUGGUGUCGAGGUACUUGGUGUUGGGCCAGAUGCGUGCGAUAAUGCCCGCCCCACCGCCCUCGUAGCCCUCGGCGCGGAUGAACCGGGCAAGCUCGGGGUCCGGUCGGAGGACGCCGGCGACUGCCUCGCGCACCGACGGGUCAGUGAUGCGGUCGGCGAGUGUGCCGGCGUCGAUGUCGGCGGCGAGCUGUUCCCAGUUGUCGAGAAAGAAGGUGAUGGCCCGGACGACGCCGGAUGCAAACGUGGCGCCGACGCGCACCACAUCGUGGCGAUGGCACAGGCCGCACAGCAUCUGCGCGUACAUGCUCUGGAACGCGUUCGGGCAGAGGAUGGCCGCCACGGGGCUCGUGAGGGCGCCGGAUAAAGGGAGCUUCUUGAAGUGGUCGCUCUUGAACAAGCUCGUCAGGACGGGCUGCGCGAGCAGGCCUCCCGGCGUCUUCGUCUCCAAGUUCACGAAGUGGAAGUAGAGACCCCUCCCCUUGUCGAGCCCAGGCACGUACCUGCACGCCACGCACCAUGGCCACACGAUUACUGCAGCUGCUCUGCUAGUACCAACAAAUUAAAGAGAGCUUACUGGUUGAUGACAGGCAUAGCGAGGCUGCCCAGCAGCAGGCUGCGGUGGCGCUCAUCCUCGACGGUAGGUAUCAGCUUGCGCUCGCCGCCCGACGUGCCGGAGCUGGUGAAGAACUCGGUGACGGGGUGCCCCGGCCCCGUGAGGAUGGGCGAGCGGUCGCCGUUGGCGAUGCGGCGGAUGUACGGCAGGAGGUCCUCGUACUCCACCAUGGGAACCUUGGCCCGGAAGGUGGCGCGGUCGGUGGCGCCGGCGAGGCCGCACUUGCUGGCGAGGUACUCUGUCUCGGCGUUGCGGGCGAGGAUCUCCCCCAGGACGCGCUCCUGCAUGGCGUCCGCGUUGGUGGUCACCUCCUCGAUGAAGCGAAGCUUGUCGGCGUCCAUCUCUUUCGCCGGUUGACGAGGCUGGGGUACAGGUCGCCGCGCCGGGGGUCAACUUGCCGGUCGUCGCCGCUGCCUUUGGCUGGCUCAAUCGGUCAAUCCUAGCAGCUGUGUGGUGUCUGCAGGGUUGGGAUGGAAAUCGAGGGUUGUCAUCCCACCAGGUGCAGCAGCUGUGGUUGACAUUCGGGCCUUGUUUAGUUGCCCAACUUUGAAGAUGCAAAAUCAAUGUUGCAGCAUUGUAGCACACUGUAGCGUUUUGUUUGUAUUUGCGAAUUAUUGUUCAAAUAUUGACUAAUUAAGCUCAAAAGAUUCGUCUCGCAAAGUACAAUAAAACUGUGCAAUUAGUUUUUGAUUUCGUCUACAUUUAGUACUCCAUGCAUGUACCACAAGUUUAAUAUGAUGAGGAAUCUUCUUUUUGUACCGUGUCAAAGUUAGGAGUUCGGGGGAACUAAAAAGAGUCUCGGUGCCUGUGUGGAGCACGAGAUGCUGAUGACACCAGACAAACACGCGGGGUGCUGUUGGAGUAUUGUACAGUACAACACUCAUUUUGGUCGUCUAAUGAUCGUGAUGGUGAUCAAUAAAAGGAAAAGUUGCAAAAAUCCACCCAUACAUUUAGGAGAUUUCAAAUACCCAUCCGCGCCGCGGCUCACUUUUCUUGCAGUCUGAAACCUGCAAAUUUUAUGCAUUUUCAAAUGUAGCUUGCCAUUUCAUUUGAACCAGUGCUUCACAAUUGCUCAUUCCAGCCAUCGAUGCCAAUGCCACCUAUGAAUUUAGAGCUUGCCAUUUCAUUUGUAUCCCAUCUAAUUUCAGUAGCCAUGCAAUGCAUGUUUGUCCUCCCAGUAACCUUACAGGAGGAACCAACAAUACCAAGGGUGCUGAUAGUUCAAGUAUGCCAUCGAACUACCUGCUGUUCGGAGGUGCAGGGAACUCUAGACAUGAAAUGGAUGGAAUGAAACAAGAUCAUCUACACAGCCAAGAAUCGAGAAUUGGAUAAAUUCAAGUAUGCCAUCUCUUAUGCCACGAAUGAAGGUUCACUCAUUCACAUCAGAGGGUAAGCUGAAGCAACCGAAUAUUUAUGAUUUUGGGGAAAGUAUGCCAUCGCUGCAUGUUGGUGUUAGCUCUAGUAGAUUCAAUUUUGAUGGUCUUCACAAUUCCAUGACCAAAGCAGAACAAUUCUGAAUGGCAUGUGUGCAGAAGGAGCUGGAAGGUUACUGAACUGAAUGUCUGAAUCAUGCAGGGGAGAAUAUGGUUGCAGUACAAGUGCAGGAAACGGUUCGGCAAACAUGUCCAAUCAGAGAAACCAUCGACUGGUUCAGAACUUCAGAUAUGACGGCCUUCUAAUUUCUAAAUGGUUGGAAGCCGGCAAUCCGAUCCAUGUUCGUCUAGAGAAAGGAGCUUCACCCCCACCGCCACAGCCACAGGAAGGAAUUUUCUGGACGAAAUUUGGAGAAAAGAAAAACAAACAGAAAAGAUCAAAAGUCGGAUUCGCAGCUGGCGUCGGCAAAAGUCGGAUUCCCGCCACGCGCCUCUGGCCUAUAAAUCCAUCCUUCUCUUCUGCCGCUCCAUCCAUCCAUCCUUCUCUUCCGCCGCUCCCCUUCCGAUCCGCGUCGUGGAGAUGGCGGCGCUGGGCCCGGCGAUCUUCUCCCGCGGCUUCCGCUUCAACCCGACGCCCCUCGAGGCCGCCACCUACUACCUCCCUCGCCUCGUCGCCGGCGCGCCGCUGCACGAGGCCGUGCGCCCCAUCGUCAACCACGCCGACGUCUACGGCUGCGAGCCCGCCGACCUCGCCCGCCAGUUCUGCCCGCUGCCCAGGACCGGGCACCGAUUCUUCUUCACCUACUGCAAGCUGCAGCAGCCGCAGAGGGCGGGGAAGGCCAGCAGGGCCACGCGCGCCGCCGGCUCCGGAUCGUGGCACUCGCAGAGCGUCAAGGACGUCGUGGACCACGCCGGUGUCAAGGUCGUCGAGAUCAGGAAGCUCCGGUACAAGAAGGGCGGCGAGUACUCGGACUGGCUCAUGGACGAGUACUCGUGCUGCUUGGAGGACGCCGUCGCCGGCGACAGGCAGUUCGUGCUCUGCAACAUCUACGUGUCCCCCAGGGCCGACCAAGGCUCCGCGGAGCGCCAAGAAUCCGCCGCCUUCUUCGCUCCACCUGCGCCUGCGCCUGCGCCCGUCAUGAUCACGCAGGCGGCGGCACCCAAGAGGCCAGCGCCGCAGAGUGCCGAGUCGCCGUGCCCCAAGCGGAUGCGGGGUGCCGUCACCCCAAUGCCUCUGGUCGUGCAGCCGGCGGGCUAUUGCACGGCGUCCUUCGCGCCACCACUGCCGUACGUGCCUCACAUCGCCGCUUCAGCAAAGCCUCAGCCUCCGCCGCCGCCAAUUCCGACCCGUCUUGCAGCACCGCCGCCGAGUCGCUCGCCGGCGCCCACACCACUGCAGCCGCGUUCGCUACCUAAGCAGCAGGCGCCGCCGCCAACUCUCCCGGUUGUACGUGCCUGCCACAUGCCAGUGGAAGCACCGGCACGUCACUGCCAGCCGCCUAAGCCGUCCGUGCAGAGGAAGCAGAGCACACGUGAUCCGUUUGAAGCCGCUGAGCUGGGAGACGAAGCGGAGGAGGAAAGGGUGGCAGCGCCUGAUCCCAAGGAGUCCCCUGCAGCGCUUGUUGAUCAAGAUGACGACUGGGCCGAGUUGGAAAAGUGCAUGGACGACGCCGUGCCAACAGCCGAGGGCUCAACCAUGACUGAGGAUGAGAUGGACCAGCACUUAUCCUCGUUGUUUGAGGAGGAAGAGAUCCCGGAUGCAAUUGCAGCACCUGAUCCGGAGUCCAAGGGAUCCAAAUCGGCGCUUCAAGAUGACUUGGACUUGCACUGGACGACGUCUUACGAGUUACGACGAUCGAGUUCAACAAUGGCUGUUGACGAGCUUGCCUGGACAUGAAGCAGCAGUAGCAGCAGCGGAAGAGCUCCACACAGAAGAAGGCUUCCCGAUCACGUCUACGUGGUAGGAAUGUAGGAUCGUAGCACAUGUAGAAUUUUUCUGUGGAUGGAAUUUUAUAUGCCAUCCUGAAUGUAAAUGUUGCAUGUUGAUGAGUUUGUUAGGGAAUAAUCCUCCUGUCCAAGACCUAAUGUAUGCCAUGACAUUAUCACUGUCAGUCUCAACACACUUGACAUUAUCACUGUCAGUCUCAACAGUAGUAUAAUGGCCGCCAAUUUAGUUUCUGUUGUCCCAUGUUGUCUCCUGAUUUUUCUAAUUUUUGUACCCUCAUUCAAUGUGCUUGAUUACUGUGGCAAGUAAAAUCCGACACCCAAGGAACCUUCAUGCGAUGUGUUACAUGGUAAAACAAUAGGCACAAAAAACAACAGGAGCACGUUCAAUUUUGCACCUGUUUUAGUGAAACUGAUAUCUGACGAUGAAGAUAUAAGCCUUUGACAAUAUUUAAGAAUGCAUUUCUUAAGAAAGACAACAUACAUGUCUAGCAUGAUUUACAGAUGCAGGGUUGCAGUCAUCCACUCCCCGGUAUCUAAACGAGUAUAGAUGUAUCAUCGACUGAUAAUUUGCUGUUGUGAUUCAAAAUCAGACACCAUUAGUUACAUUAUCAGCACUCCCUCUAACAUCUCAUCCCAUAACUAGUACUCCCUCUAUUCCAAAUUACAGGUUGUUUUGGCUUUUCUAGAUUCAUAGAUGUUUGUAUGCACCUAAAUAUAAUAUACGUCUAGAUGUAUAUAUAAACAUCUAUGCACUAAAAAAUCAAAACGACCUGCAAUUUGGAACGAAGUAAAAUGAACCAACUGAAACCACCUCCGCAUCCCAUGGCAUUCCACACUGCAAUCACACUGAAGAACUCCAGACCACCGUAUCCUCUCAGAUUUGUUACAGAAUGAUGGGGAACAGCCCACCAACAGCGAUCUGAGUGUCCUUGGUCACCGGGUAAGAUACUGGCAGUGAGAAGAAGACGGUGAUGGUUGCCAGUUGCCUAGGCAGUGUAGACUGCUGUUGUCUUGCGACCGAUGCCAUUGCUUCUAAUGCGACGAGGCUGCCCAGAGACUGCAUUUGGAUUGGAAACAAUGCGAGUCAUGCGUUGAUCAAAAUGCUGCUAAAGUGGGAAUGAACUGAAAGCUCAUUUUGAAGGGUAACAGCGGAAUGAUUCAUGCGUUGAUGAAAUGCUUCAAACCUUGGGAUGAACUGUAAGCUUAUUUUGACGGCUAGAAGUAGGAUGGUUCAUUUCAUUUCUGAACUGUAAGCUCGUCGAGGAGGACGGUGCUGGCCGUCAGGUUGCCGUGCACGAUGCUCAUGUCGUCUGGAGGUAGGCUUGGCCACGGGCUGUCAUCCGCGUCGCUCAGUCCACCGGCGUGUUCGGAGCGCGAGCUGCAGCAAUGCCAUUCAUCACAGUACACAAGUUCAGAGUUUCGGUUCCACACGCGUCAAAAAGUGCAGAGUUUCAGUUCACGGGGACUCUAAGAAGUGGAAGGAAUGACUAGCUGGCAGCAAAUUUAUCAAGAGAUUUCGUAGAAUCGAGUUAAGUAAUGUUGAUAAUGCAGUGCUGAAUGUCUAAUCCAUCAAUUGUUAGGCCCAGUUGUCAGGAAACUCUGUCAGACACAAUUGUUGCAGGGUUUCACUUCAAAAGGUACUGAAUACUGAAAGACGAUGGGUUAGGAAUAAAAUUAUCAACAGAUUUGAAGUAACAAAGUUUAAUAAUGCAGAAAAGUUAUUGCUGUCGAAACAAGAAAUCCGUUUACUAGUACAGCUAAUCCUAAUCCAUAACUUGUUCGAACAAAAAUUGCACAAGGUGUCAGUUUCUUUCCACUGAACCUAACAUAAGUAGCUCUUGUUCAUUCUAUUGAACUUUUCAGGCAACUGCAGAGUUUUUAUUUUUAUUUACAAAAAGAAACUACAGAGACAAUUUACGGAGGUGUUAGUUUGCUUUAACUGAACGUAACACGACAAUUUGUUCUCAAUAGUUAGCGUUUUCUGCAUUGGCCAUGAACAGAGAAGCUGUGAAUUAACGCAUGAUUCUUCAGAUGCUAAGGGUAUGAACCGACACAGAGGCAAGCCCGGCGAGGGAAUCCGACUUGAAAACGGGAAAGCAAAACCGGAAAUUCAAAGUCUGGGCACACAUCUGGCGAUUUUUCGGGAGGAAACUUUGGAAACCAAAACCGGAAAUUCAAAGUCGGACACACAGCUGGCGCCGGCGGGAAUCCGACCUCCACUCGACCACUCCCGUCCCGCAGCGCGCCGCUGCACGACGCCGUCCGCCCCGUCGUGCACCACGCCGACGUCUACGCCUGCGAGCCCGGUGACCUUGCCGCCCAGUUCCGGCCGCUGCCCAAGACGGGAGACCGCUACUUCUUCACCUCCUGCAAGAAGGGCGCGCGCGUCGCCGGGCCCGGCUCCUGGAACCUGCAGAGCACCAAGGCCGUCAAGGGCGGCGCGGAUCAGGCCGAGGUCGUCGGCGAGAUCAAGAAGUUCCGGUACAAGAAGUGCGGCGUGUUCACGGACUGUCUCAUGGACGAGUUCUCCACGUGCUGCUCGGAGGAGCCCGCCGCCGGCGACAGGCAGUUCGUGCUCUGCAAGAUCUACGUGUCCCCCAAGGCUGCUAAGAACUCGGCCGAGCGCCAAGAAUCUGCGGCGUUCUUCGCGCAGCCUGCGCCGCUGCCCGCCGUCGUCAUGACGCAGGCGGCGCCCAAGAGGCCGGCGCCGCCGCAGGUUUCCGAGCCGCCGUGCCCCAAGAGGAUGCGGGGUGCCGUCGCCCCGACCCCUCCGGUCGUUUAGCUGGCCGGUUGCACGUCAUACUUCGCGCCACCGCGGUCGUACGUGCUUCACACCACCGCUUCAGCUCAGCCUCCGCCGCCAUUUCCGACCUUUGCAGCGCCGCCGAGUCACUCGCCAGCAAUCGCACCACCGUGUCUACUUGCGCAGAUGCCGCCGCCGAUUCCCCUUCCCCCAAUGUUAAGUGCCUACCACAUGCCAGUGCAAGCACCGGCGCACCAGUACCGGCCUCAGCCGCCCGUGCAGACGAAGCAGAGCAUGCGCGAUCCGUUACGUGUCGACAGCCGAAGCAGAGCAAGCGGCUGCCAACUCUGAGAGCUCAACGAUGGCUGACGGCGCGCCUGAUCCGGCGUCCAAGGAGUCCCCUGCUGCGCUUCAUGAAGGUUUCGGCAUCGAUCACAUCAUGUCGCUUCCAGAUGCCGCCUUCGAGGAGUGCCUCAAGUCGCUUCCUGUCGACAUCGAAGAGUCUUUCAAGGAGCUCCAGGAAGCGAUCCAGGUUUCAUAAGAAGACUUUUCUUGCUUAGACAUGCAAGAGCAGUAGCAGCAGCGGAAGAGCUCGCUCCAUACAGUCACAGAUUCCAGAUCAGGAAUAGGAUGGCAACACUUGUAAAUCUUUCUGCGGAUGAAACUAAUGUUAUCCUUUCUGAAUGUGACAACGUUGUGUGUUUAAUUCAAUUUGGGCAGUCUUGUGGUAGUACAAGAGCUGCUUGCUGUUAUGGUUUGCAAGCGAUGAUUCGAAAUUUGUUUCUGCGGAUCAAGGUCUUGCCAAGUUGUCCAAUCUGUGUUCAUUAGUGUUAUUUACCAUGACAAGAAAAACCUGCAAAACCUCCAAGAACACUACACGAAGCACCCUUAAAGUGCCGCAUAAUAAUGAGACAAUAUAUGGUUCAAAUUUCAGAAAGCACACAGACCAGCACUGUAAACUAGUACAAGUGCUGCUUGUUGUUUGAUGCAUUUUUAUAUGUGCUGACAAGCUAUAGUUCCAAAUUGUUUAAAUGGAUCCAUGUCUUUCCAAGUUCACUUUCCAUCUCUGUUCAUCACUGGAUAUCUCAUGCAUUUUGAGACAACAUAUGGCAUCAACGUCUCAUGCAUAUGUUGACAAGUACAAGCUGCAAAAGCGUUGAAGGGUAAAAUCACCAGAACCACCUCAUCAAGAACCCUAAAAGCACUGCAUUUUGAGACAACAGAUGGUACCAAAAGCACCCAUACGUAUAACAGCAUUCACCAAGAGCCAGUUCAUGAUCACUGGAUAUAUCAUUAAGAAGAUACAGAUCUUUGCCAUUUCUCAUCCAAGAAUGCAUUUCUGCAGAACCGAAUACUCAGACAAAAGAAAGACAACAUGCAUGCCCACAAUGACUCUUUCGAUUUUUAAUACAUGAUUAUUAUAGGGAAGCACAGUACAACUGUAACAGUCAUCGAACCCCUAACACCUUAACUAGGACCUGACAAAUACUAAACUCAGCACAACAACCAUGGCAUCUAUAGAUCAGGCAUACCAACCCCAGCUUUCUCAUCGUAGGUCUUCUCCAGCACAAGCUCAAUUGGUGUAUCCUUUGGGCCAGCUGUGUGAUUGGAAGGAAACAAUCAGAGCAACUUCUCAUCAACAAAUGUGCACGAGAGACAUACCAGAUAGCCAAAGAAUGUAUUUGAGACGACAAAAAAGAGUAUAUGGCAAAAUGUUUAAUGAACCUGUUUACUACUGAUUUGACCUACUUAUUCGUUCACUUAUGCAACUAAUAUCAUCUCUGGAGUUAAAUCAUAACUGGUGCUCAAAACAGAACAAUAUCAGAGUCUAUUUGCCCCAUACUCUGUUGAACUACAAUUCUCCUUCCAGCACAGAGAAGGUACCCAAUAUGUAUCGCAUCUCAACAACACCAGAGUGCUGAAAAAUUCUAAACAAACAGAUGGGAGUCGAGAAAUGGAGAAAACACUAGAUGCAGCCAGUUAAUAUCAGUAUUAAGUACUGCAGCAUAAGAAGUGCUAAUUAGUUCACACCUUUCUUUAGGUAAUUAAUGUUGUACUGAAAGGCACCAUAAAGUGAGAAUACAAGAUGUGUUUAUGAGACAUGCAUGCUGUGGAUCGCCAUAUAAUGAGUGUUAAAAGAAAAUUAUGAGACAUACGUGAUGUGGGUCUCGGCUUUUUUCUCUCCUUCAGAAUUUCUGGCCGGGGUAUCACAGCACCAGAUGCAUUCAUUCCUCUGGCGAAUCUGACUUUGGUCCCAUCUUCCAAAUACUUAUAUCCAAUUUUACAUGGUUUCCUGUGGUAAAUAUCGUGUUGACAAAUGAUUUUAUAAUGAGAAGUUAAUAAAAGCAAUAUCUCUGUAGGUACUAAAACAUGGUCAGGUAUCAUAUCCAUACCCAGUCACAGGAUCAACUACUUGGAUAUUCGAAACAUGAAGUGGAGCUUCUAUUGAGAAAAUACCACCUGUGUGCCCUUCCCCUUGCUUAAUGUGUUUCUUAACCUGAAAUGAUGAAAGCACAACUAUCUAUGUAAUUCCUAGUGCGCAAGAGGACACGAAAAGGCACAAGACAAUGAAACCAUGUUACUUGCUGGUUGCAGUUAACAGUACCCAGAAUAAAUAAACACCGAGUGUGCACCAAAUUUUAAGUAAAUACAUAAUGAUUUUAGACAGAUGAGAAAAACUGCAUAUUUUUUUGUUCCUGUCUGGUAUUCAACACAGCAGAUUCUGCAAAACAAAGCCCUCAGCUACCACAUUAUAACUAGUUGAGUUAUUGAACAUCUAUUGGUCAUGAACUUAUGGUCUUAUUGCAUGUUAAUUCAGCUACAAAUUCAGAUGGUCUUACGCCAGUAUGUAACUGUUGAUAUGGUAGGCAGAGUGGCAGACAUGUCCCAAAGAAAAACAGUAAAGCAUGUAAAGAGGCAUUGCAGUAUAUGCAACAUGAUAAUGAUUUGCUAUACUGAAAGAAAUUAUGCUUGACAAAACAUAUAAACAGGAGAUAUUGGUAUGCUUGUUCCCCUUGAGUGUCACUGCUAUUCUUUCGUUUAACCAAUUUGUAAAGCUAAUGGCCAACAUCCACCUAUAGAUAAAUGAAUGCGCACAACUACUUUCUUUGCGCCAUAAUGGAACUGUGGCAGUUUGGAGGAAGAGCUACAUUAUUCACAAGUAAAACUCAUGUUAUCAGCCUCAAAGCAGCACAACAAGGACAAAAACUGGGCAUCAUCUAACUACUAACGUCACUUUUUUCAACCAAGAGCACAGUACCAACACUAGCUUGAACUCUGAAGUCUGAAGAAUUUACAUAAAAUUUACGACGGGCCACCUUUCAACUAUAAUGGUUUGGGAAUUUGGACGGGACGGAACGGAUAGAGCACAAUGUUAUCUAGGGGGCCUUAAUUGAAUAGACACGGCCAGUCUGCAAAAACCUAAAUACCAAUUAUACUAAGUAACUGUGUUGAGUCCAAUUUAACCCACAGUUGUAGGAUGCCACACAUAUCUUCUAAACUGAUUCCACGCCCGAGUUAAUUAGCUGGGGAAAGAGCGUGGAACAACAAAUUACCAAGUUCUUGCCCUCGACGAUGACGCGAUUCUGGGACCGAAUGACCCGCUUGAUGAGCCCGGUCUCCCCCUUGUCCUUGCCUCUGAUGAUCAUCACCUGGCAGUGAAAAAAAAAGGAGAAUGGGAGAUCUCGCAAUGAGAAGAUAGUAGGACUGAAAAGACUAACUGGGGGAUGGGCUGCAGAACGAGAGAGAUUACGUUGUCACCGCGGAGUAUCUUCCAGUGCCUGAUGAGCUUCUCCGCAGCCUUCCACCCCAUCUUUCCUUGAAGCCGCCUCCUCUCUCCCGCGGGUUUGGGGCUGCGGCGGCCGGUGACGGAGGCGGCGGCCGGCGAGGGAUGGAAGAAGAGCGAGUGGCGGCGCGGGGCGCUGGGGCUGACUGCUGAGAGCGUGAUUGGGCCGGGCUAGUGAAGAGGAAGCUUGGGCUGCUGCUGCUGUUUGGGAAGGAUUGCCUGGCCUGCUAUCCUUGGGCUAAGCCCAAAUUGACUUCAGUCCACACGUUUGACAAAUUUCGCCUAUGCUACAAUUUUACUUGCAAAUUAAAGUUUGCAAAAAUGCUGCAUCUUUUAUGAACUUAGAAGAUAGUGAUACCCAUAAUUUUCAGAAUUAAAUUCCAAAGUGGUCAUAUCAAAUCCCAUCUGUGUACAAAGGUGUAUUAACACAAAAGGUGAUUUAGGACAGAGAAAAGGCCCAGCUUCAGUAACAAAAGAGAAGGCCGACAGCUACGCUCCUCUUUUUCCAAAUGCUUUAGAACAUCUAUGUUUUUUCAAGCAUCAUCCAGCACCAUUACUCAACUGCUUGCGGUUUGACGUAGUCGGUGAAAAACAAGUUGUUUCCUAGCACUUCGAAAAUAUAGCCGCAUUGACGCCACUGAAAAAAAAAACAGUCUAUGUCAGACUACCGGACCUCAUUGCAAGCGAGUUUAGAAUUACGCAUUCCUACGCUUGGAUUCUUCUCUUCUCACUGUGCAGCUCUGAACCCCAGGUCCGAGUGUGUCGAUGCUCCGUCUCUCUUCAUAACAAGUGUUCUUCUCCGAAUCCCAAAAAGUUUGCUUCGACGUCGGUUACACUGUACUAGACGGUGGCUAAAGUCUCUCCAUUUGAGUCUGAUCUCAUCAUCCUCGGGUCCUACACUAGAACAGGUCAACAGCUGGCAGUAAAUUCAGAAUCAGGCCCUUCUGUCUGGAGUUUACAGCAAUCCAGCCAUUUCUAUCGAGAUGUUGAAUGGAACUGCCGUGUGAUCACAAGCAGUACCAGUGUCUCGUACAAUAAAAUUAUUGGCUUUAUACGGAGAUCUUUAAAUGGAAUUCCCCUUGGAGAUGCCAGAUGUGUAAAUGGAAACUGUUGACAAAUUCUUCACCAUUGCUGAAGAUCUCCGAGUUUCAAGCAACUUCGUCAACAGUUGAAGCACAGCGUACGUAAAGAACUCCAUGGUCCCAUCCCGUGCACCGACGACGAUCGACCAUGCGCACCAGCUUCCCUACUCCCAGUUUCCAAGCUUAAAUGUCAACGAGCGCAUCACUAAGCUACUAUUCAUAGCUCUGCUCUGCACCAAGCAGCUUCACCAAACUCCCCGCUCAAAGCCACAUCCAGUUCCCCAUGGGCGCCGGCGACGACACCGCGCCGGUGGCCAAGGCCGCCAUGGAGGUGUCCUCGUCGUCGACGUCUACCUCCACGGCGCGAGCGCCUUCGCCAGAGCCGCCGCCGUCGGUGCUCAGGUCCGUGAUGCUGUCGUACGCGUACGUGGGCAUCUGGAUCAGCCUCAGCUUCUCGGUGAUCGUGUACAACAAGUACAUCCUGGACCCCAAGAUGUACGGCUGGCCCUUCCCCAUCUCGCUCACCAUGAUCCACAUGGCCUUCUGCGCCACCCUCGCCGCGGCGCUCGUCCGCGUGCUCCGCGUCGUCGACGUGCCCACCUCGCCGCCCAUGACGCCGCGCCUCUACGCCGCCUCCGUCGUCCCCAUCGGCGCGCUCUACGCGCUCUCGCUCUGGUUCUCCAACUCCGCCUACAUUUACCUCUCCGUCUCCUUCAUCCAGAUGCUUAAGGCGCUCAUGCCCGUCGCCGUCUACUCCCUCGCCGUCGCCUUCCGCACCGACUCCUUCCGCCGCGCCUCCAUGCUCAACAUGCUCGGGAUCUCCGCUGGCGUCGCCGUCGCCGCGUACGGGGAGGCCCGCUUCGACGUGUUCGGCGUCACGCUCCAGCUCGCCGCCGUCGCCGCCGAGGCCACGCGGCUCGUGCUCAUCCAGAUCCUGCUCACCUCCAGGGGCAUGUCCCUCAACCCCAUCACCUCGCUCUACUACAUCGCGCCCUGCUGCCUCGCCUUCCUCACCGUGCCGUGGUACGCCGUCGAGCUGCCCAGGCUGCGCGCCGCCGCGGCGUCGGCGGCGGGGCUCGCGCGCCCCGACGUGUUCGUGUUCGGGACCAACUCGCUCUGCGCCUUCGCGCUGAACCUGGCCGUGUUCCUGCUGGUGGGGAAGACGUCGGCGCUGACCAUGAACGUGGCCGGUGUCGUCAAGGACUGGCUGCUCAUCGCCUUCUCGUGGACGGUGAUCAAGGACACCGUCACGCCCAUCAACCUCGUCGGCUACGGCAUCGCCUUCCUCGGCGUCGCCUACUACAACCAUGCCAAGCUGCAGGGGCUCAAGGCCAAGGAGGCCGAGAGGAAGGCGGCAGCCACAGCGGUGCCCAAGCCGGAUGACGCGGAGGCGGCCACGCGGCUGCUGCCGGAGAAGGACGGCAGCGGCGGUGACCACAAAAACUGAAACGCAUUCACUGAAAAAUGAUUCUGUUGUACACUGCAUUUUAUUCAUCUCAGCUAUAGGACGUCUGAAACUUCGAUUUAGUUCAUGGUCGAUUUAUGCUGUUUAAGUUUUGCGGUUCUUAAGUACAGGAAAUGCAAAGGAUAAAUGAUUCGGAAGUAUGUUUGUUUCUUGUUAGCAUUUGAUAUCUUUUAUUUCAUAGAAUCAUAUCAUUUAGAUGAUACAUGUAUCAUCGAACUGUUGGUUACUACCAAACUAGUCUGGCGGUCUGGAUGCCUUCUCGUCAUGAAAAGAAUGGCUAUUGUUGUGCUACAAGUCACAGGGUACAAAAUCUUUAGGUUUACUCAAAGUGGCACCAGCUGAAAAGGAACAAAAAGAUACAGCAUCUAAACGUGUUACAGUGAAGUGAUGCAUUGUGAGUUGCUAGGCAGGCAGGUAAGCCGUCCCUAACUAUAUGCUCCCAGUCGACCAAUCACUCAGGUUCCUUCAUCUUCGCUCAAAGGCUCAAAGCUCACCCGAGGAGAGCCAAAAAAUGGCCUAAAAUAUUAUGCAUAUGGUUCGGUUGAAAUGGACUUUUCUGUUCCAUAAUUCCAUGUCCCUUCUUUUAAGUUUUUUUUUUGUUUUGAAACACCAUACGUUUUAAGUUAGGAGCAUGAAUUCUGACAGUUCAUCUAGUGUGGUGUCUGAAUUUCUGAAAGCGUGAACUCGUUGGCGAUCAGAUUCAAUCUUUUUACGUUCUGCGAUUCUUCAAUUCAUGGAAUGCAAGAGACCGGCUUUUUGGGCAGCGGUGGGAGGAGAGCAGCUGCAGCCCCUUGCCUUUCGCAGCCCGCGCGCCUCGGAGGCGCCGCACUCCGGCCGCCGUGCCGCCCCUCCGGAUCCCUCCGCGCCGCCGCGUCCCUCCGUGGCUGCACAGCCCCUCCGCUUCUCUGCACGGCCCCCCUCCGCUUGGUGUGCCGGCGUGUCGCGCCGCGGCUGGGCGGGAAGGCCCAGGCGGAGCAGCAGAAGCAGAGGCUGUAGAGUUGACCAGGAGCCUCAAUGACCCCACAACCAACGGCGGCGGGCUGCCAGAGACGGAUCGGACGGCGCACGCGUCAGGGACGGAAACGAAACGAAUUAGGCAACCGAGGGGGCGGAGUGCAAAACUGAGCCUCGCUCGACUUGGGUUCCGUCCUCGUCCCAUUGCCGCCGCAUUGCGUCGUUCUCCUCCGGCUAGGGUAGUUUCUCCGUUGGCUUUCCGAUCUCCAAGCUUGCCGCGGGCAGCUUCGGAUCACUCUGAGGUAAGAACUCGAGUCCCUCCGAUCAAAGCCCACCCGUUUGUUGCUGUCCGAUUAGCUUCUGUCCUUGUUUGCAAGUGAUAUUGUGCUGCGGGGAGCGGGAGAAAUUAGGGUGUGUCAGAAUCUCUGCUUUCCACUAGAUUCAGUUACUUGAUUGCGAAACGUUAGAGUGCUGAUUCGCGUUCCCCAUUGAACGUUGAUCCAAUGAUCCCUCUCCCGACGAUCCCAUCCUCCAAGGGGCCAAGCCGCUAAGGGGAGCACACUAGAUAUUGCUAAUCAUGUACUAGAUGCCUAGAUACAUAGGAGGCAGCCUUUAAAUUCUAAUCAGAAAGCAAGGGGAGCACACUAGAUGUUCCACCCCUUUUUUUUAAGUUCUGUCAGUACUAGUGGCUCUAUCCUGUUUCUUAUGAAAACACUAGAUUCAGUCCAGCUUCAUACCUACAGAAUGGCACAUGUAAUUUGCUGGUGGAUGGCUUAUAUUUUUUUAAUCAUACUUGUCUUCUAUGCAAGGACAAGGUUGAUCUUAACAUAUUUGGGCAACAUUUUUUUGUUGACCCAAAUGGGCAACAUAUUUUAGAUACAAUCACAUAACUAAGCUUUCAGUUAGAUCUGAGGAGCAAUGAUGGUUUAGAGACUGUAUUGUCUAUGCUCAGAAGGAAAUUUUGUCCAUCAUAUGACUCAGUGACUGGUACAUCUAUCGGCAACACAUGAGUUAUUUCAGAAUGCAUAAAGUAAAAUUUUAAGACAAUAAGUAGUUAAUGUCUUGUAUGUUAGGGCCAAGCUUGAAGCAGUAUUAACUUUGUUCAGUUGUAUAAUGUUUUGAUUCUUUUGUUCAGUCUUCAGAGGGUAUUUAUCUCCAUGUUCUCCAUGUUUACUGUUUAGUCACUCUUAUUCUUAACUGCUUAGCUAUUUACUUGGGUUCAGAUUUUAUUUUAGAUUCACACAUUAUGUACAUUGUUCUCUAAUUCUUAUUUUGUUUUUUUUCCUGUUCCUUUUCCUACCCUUCCAUUCAUUUAAUGGAAUAUUGAUACCUUGCAAUUACACCAGCCCGCUCAAUUAUACUUCAGAUAGCAUCUUCUUUGCCUGUCCUCUUUAACAUACUCUUGUUGACGGUGCUAUCAUAUUCUUGAUAACCUUCCGUACUGCCUAUCUGAGGAUACUGCUAUUUCUGCAUUUGUUCCUCAACAGUCACUUGCUUUGUGGUUCCAUUUUCCAUUUGGAUACCCAUGGCUGAAUCCAUUUCGAGAUUAUUACAUAUAUUUUGUUCUAGCUGUUUCUGUUGUUUUUUCCCUAUCCAUUCAUCAUCACUUUGCUCCCCCAAUAUUGUUGGUUCCUGUGCUCUUUCCAAAGUUUUCUUGAAACUUUGAGCUUUGAAAGAUGCCGAGGAGUACAGAAAAUGCUCUCAGACAAGAAGACCAUUUGGAGUUCGAUGAUCCUGAUGAGGUAGAUGAAGAGGAAGUUGAGUAUGAAGAAAUUGAGGAGGAGGUUGAGUAUGAAGAGGUAGAGGAGGAUGAGGAGGAAGAGGAGGAGGAAAAAUCUGAAGUUGUGUGUGAAGUUGAUGCUAAGCAUGAGAGUAAAAUGGUAGAUCAGAAGGAUGAGGAAGAAAAAGAGAAGCAUGCUGAGCUUCUUGCUCUUCCUCCUCAUGGAUCUGAAGUGUAUGUUGGGGGCAUCUCAGAUGUAUCUUCUGAAGAUCUCAAAAAACUAUUUGAGUCGGUUGGAGAAGUUGUGGAAGUGAGUACUGCCUACUUUCUAUGGGUUAGCUUCUGCAUUUGUCUUCUUCUGCUAUUCAGAGUCUGUUUUUCCUGCAGGUGCGAAUACGAGGAAAGGGGGAUAACAAGCUGUAUGCUUUUGUUAAUUUCAGAACUAAAGAACUGGCUUUAAAGGCCAUCCAAAAGCUGAACAAUAAAGACCUAAAGGUUUGUCUUCACUUGAACUCAGAGUCAAUCUUCAUGUUAGUCCACCAGUGAUGCAAACUUUAAGUUUUUAUACUAUCAGUUUGCAAACUUUCUUUACUGCUGCAAUCUUCAUGUUAGUUCGCAACUUUUUUACAAACUUUUUAGACUGAACUCAGAGUCAAUCUUCACUGGUGGAUGCAAACUUUUUAUAUUAUCUUCAUGUUAGUUCACCAGUGAUUUAUUUACAUUUAGCGAAGUACAAGGUUAUAUGAUUACAAUUACAUCUGCUUGCUAUUUUUAAAAAAGUUUGCAGCAGUCCCACUGUCGAGUUUAAAAUACAAAACCUUGUGAUUAAUUGCAAACCCCUGUGUUCAGUCAUACUUUUAGAAAUCAGAAUUGUGGAUGGCAGUAUAUUAUGUUUUCAACAAUAAUUUAUUGGGGGUCCUUUCUAAAGUGUUUCCGGCACCAUAUUAUACAAACCUGGUUUUGCAACCCAAACGACGUAUGAAUACACACUAGUACUUUCUGAAUCCUUGUUGCACCUGAUUAACUCAUAUAUCUUGUAUAUUGAUACGAAAUAUACCAUAUUAUUAUGGUUCUUGUAACAGGGAAAGAAGAUAAAGGUUUCUUCGUCCCAGGCAAAGAACAGGCUAUUUAUUGGGAAUAUACCCCAAGAUUGGACACAGGAUGAUUUCAAAAAUGCAGUGGAAGAAGUUGGUCCUGGAGUUUUAAAAGUCAAUCUCCCGAAGGUAUGGAUACAAUACUAUGAUAGUUCAAUAACUUCAGCAUGCAUCAUUACAGUUGUUUUACACUGAAUGUAUCUUUGUCAUAGGCACCACGUUCAGAUUGCCACAAGGGCUAUGGCUUUAUUGAAUACUACAACCAGGCAUGUGCAGAGUAUGCCAGGCAGAAGAUGUCUACCCCAGAAUUCAAACUAGAUACAAAUGCUCCUACUGUCAAUUGGGCAGAUACUAAGAAUAGUGGUGAAUCUGCCUCUACUGCGAAGCAGGUCCUUUCGAGUUUUGAGCACCACAUGACAAAAUAUUACUUCAAAAUGUUUUCUUCUAUAAUGAUGUUGUGUAUGGAUGUGCAUUUUUUGUCUUCAGGUUAAAUCUCUUUAUGUCAAAAACCUGCCCAAGACUGUUACUGAAGAGCAGCUGAGAACGCUGUUUGAGCACCUUGGAGAAAUUACAAAAGUUGUUCUUCCUCCUGCAAAAGCUGGUCAUGAAAAUCGGUACGGUUUUGUUCACUUUAAGGAACGGUACAUGGCUAUUAAGGCUCUGAAGAACACCGAGAGAUAUGAACUUGAUGGUGAGUUUUCUUCUCUAACAUCCUUCUAUAGCUGGUCAAUUUUGCUUCAUGUAUCCAAAAGGUCAUGGGUUAUUUCUCUAUCAGGUCAGCUACUGGAUUGUUCACUUGCAAAAGCAGACAAGAAGGAUGAUACUAUAUCAGUACCUAAUACAAAAGCAGGUCCAUUGCUGCCAAGUUAUACCCCACUUGGAUAUGGACUGUCGGGGGCCUAUAAUCCACUUGGAAAUGGACUGGCAGGCGCUUAUAAUCCACUUGGAAAUGGACUGGCAGGCGCUUAUAAUCCACUUGGAAAUGGACUGGCAGGUGCUUAUAAUCGACUUGGAAAUGGAUUGGCAGGUGCUUAUAAUCGACUUGGAAAUGGAUUGGCUGGUGCUUAUGGUGUGCUUCCUGCUCCUGCUGCACAGGUACAUGCCAUCAUCUGCUAUGACUGGCCGCUGCAUGAGAUAGAUUACAUAUACAAGAGGUGAUAGCCUUCUAACUGUUGUGUAUGCUUGGCAUUCUUUGCACCUCUGCAGCCAAUUUUGUAUGCUCCAGGUGCUCCUUCAGGUUCAACAAUGAUCCCAAUGGUUCUACCAGAUGGCCGUCUUGUAUAUGUGUAAGUAUUCGCUCUAUCCUAAGUAUUCUUCUACAAAGGUCAUACAUCAUACAUUCAACUGAACUAAUGCAAUUCCAACUCCUACUGCAUCUGGAUUACAUUGUUGUCUUGUAAUGUUACUUGUUGCCGCAAAUCCAUUGUUGAAACACUUGUCAGCCAGUUCAUACAUUAGGUUACAGAGAAGAAACGGUUUUGAUCAAUGUGCACAUAACAUCCAUUUUUUCAGUACAUGAUAAAAGUAGUGCUUGAGAGCCCCUGUGUUAAAACACAUGUAAUUUGUUUAGUAUUUGCAGCUCUUGAAUUUGACAACAUGCAUAGACCUGGAGUAUUUAAAUGAAAAGAGUCUCUAUUGUAGAAUAAAGUUAUUUUGUAAAAUUUGCAAUGGUCCAAUAAUGUGAUGAAAUGAGAUUGUUAUAUUAUAUCCUAACAUAACCCUUUAUUUUGUUCCUUCACCUUCCAUAUUAAGAGCAGCCCUUUGAACUGCUGCAGUGAUAAGUCCAUUGUCGAUUCAUAGUUUCCUUGGUGUUUGGCAGACCACAGGCUGCAGGGCAGCAAACUGUGCAUGUGGCUUCGCCUCCAUCACUGCAAGGUGGUCAUCGUUAUGGUGGUAGCAGUGGUGGUGGAUCCGGCUCUGGUGGAAGGCGGCAGAGAGGAGAUGACCGCGGUAGUACUAGUAGCAACAACAGCCGCAGGGGCCGACACCGUCCAUACUGAUGUUUGCAAAGGUUGCUGUUAGCGUUUAGAAGUUAGAACCUAGGACAAAAGAAUGCCUCUGUUGCAGUACCUGGAUCUGGAUGGCUACCACCUAAUAGCUGGAGACUGUACUUUGUAGUUUGCACUAGCGUUUAUUUUCCUCGGUCUGUAACGAACCGCUGUAGAACCAAUAAUACUGCAAACCGUAGAUGUAGCUUGGGAUGCUAUCCAUCAGGCUUCAAGAACAGUUUUGCUGUGCUCACUGCUAUGGUCUACAUUUGUGUCUGUUUGAUCACUCUCGGCGUGUUCAGUGCCGUGAGGAAUUGAAUUCUGGUGACCUGACUCUGAAUUUAACCUGUUGCUACUGUCUGUGGACUGGAAUGUGUCAAUCCAUCCCCACCUUUAGCUGUGAACGCCAAGCAGGCUGCAAGACUAGGUUCUUCUUGGGUGUUCAGUGCGGUGAGAAAUGUUCGGUGGACUAGGACGGCCGCCCAGGUUCUUCUUGGGUGAACGCCAAGCAGGUUGCAAUAAUCGGUAGAGUAGACUAGGACGGCCCCCUAGAUCAGCUGGCAGCGGCAAAACUCACCAAUCAGCUUACUGAAAGCAUCGGUGUUUCUCCAGUAGAUUCUGCAGAGGCCUUAGCUUUAUUCAAAAAGGAAAAAGAUUCUGCAGAGGGAGAGGAGAAGUGUUGACGGGGGCACGUCGGCAUCCCGCUGCACGGGCACGGCACAGCCGGAGCCGGAGCGGGCUCUCUGUUUGACACAAAGAGGAUUCCAGGCGGUGGUUCGAGGGCGUAGAGGAAGAGAGACUUGCCGUGGAGGCCUCUUGCCAUCAUGUACGCUGGUCCUGUUCAUCAAACCUCGAUCCGUAAGCAGAUCAAGGCUCUGGUCCUCCACUCCUCCGAGCCAGAAUCCUCUGCACGCGUCCUGCGAAACCAUGCUGCGCCCGUUCUUUUCGCGCAGAAGCCGUCGGUGGCGAGCACAGCCUCCGCUUCGCCUGCCAACAGCGAGCUUCUCCUCCCGUCGAUGGUGGCCAUCAGCCGACAUGGCCGCUGAUGACGGCUGCACAAACCAGCCUCCAUGCCUCGGGAGCCAAAGGAAGAUACAUUGGAGUUUGCUUUGAGUGGAGCUAUUUUCUGACUUCGAAUACAGUUCACAAAUGCAGUGGAAGGAUACAUUGGAGUUUGCUUUGAGUGUUCCUGUGGCGGUGGAGUCCAAUUUGAAUUGCUUUUAGACUUUCGUUGCUUGGGCACUGUCAAAACAAACUACAUUUUCAGUUCGUAUUACCAUUGUUAAGGCAGACUGUCUUUUAGGGGGUGUUUGGAUACGAGGUGUUAAACUUUAACAGUGUCACAUCGGAUAUUCGGAUGCUAAUUAGGAAAACUAAACAUGAGCUAAUUAUAAAACUAAUUGCAGAACCCUGUGCUAAUUCGUGAGACGAAUCUAUUAAGCCUAAUUAAUUCAUCAUUAGCAACUGGUUACUGUAGCACCACAUUAUCAAAUCAUGAACUAAUUAGGCUUAAUAGAUUCGUCUCGUGAAUUACACUCCAUCUGUGCAAUUAGUUUUGUAAUUAGCCUAUAUUUAAUACUCCUAAUUAGCAUCCAAACAUCCGAUGUGACAGGUGUUAAAGUUUAACACCUGGUUGCCAAACAGGCCCUUAGUUUACUUACUCAUUUCAAGAAAAUUGCCAUGGCAAUCAGUUUAGAGUCUGACAGGUGAUUAGCAAAAAAGAUGAAACAGGUGAUUUUCCAUAGAAAAGAGCACAACAAGAUUAGUUCAAUAAUCAACAGGUAAUUAGCACAAAAGAUGAGUUCAAGAAAAUCACAGCUUGAGCAACAUGAAAAGAGCAAUCCUGACCACAAGCCCCGAAUAUUCAGUCUCCAUUCUCCCAUACCACCAUCCGUUCACAAACAACUCCUAAUCUCAAGCAACCACGGUAGUAAUAGCAACAACAGCUACAGGGCCCGGCACCGUCCGUACUGAUGUUUGCAAACGCUGCUGUUAGCGCUUAGAAGUUAGAACCUAGCACAAAGAAUGCCUUUUUUGCAAUUUGCAGUACCCCGGCUGCCUACCAGCGAAUGCUGGAAACUGUUCAUUCCACUAGUGUUUAUUUUUACUACUCGUCUGUAACAAACCGAUGUAGAACCAAUAAUAUUGCCAACCGCAGAUGUAGCUUGUGAUGCACUUUAUUCAUCAGGCUUCAAGAAUAGUUGUGCUGUGCUGUGUGCUCGCUGCUAUGGACUACCUUUGUGUCUGUUUGAUCACUAGGUGUGUUCAGUGCGGCGAGGAAUUGAAUUCUGGCGGAUAAAAUGAGUUUACUCUGAAUUUAACCUGCUUCUAAUUUCUAUUGUUUGUGGAGUGUAAUGUGUCUACUGUCGAUCCAUCCCCACCUUAGCUUAAGAUGACAACUGUUCGUUACACUACGAGGCCCCCCAGAAUUGGGGGUUCUUGGGUGAACGGCAAGCAGGUUGCAAGAAUCGAUAACAGAUUGACAGGGAUGAGUUGGUGAUCAUCAGCUAGCAGCGGGCUGCGGCAACUCAGCACCCAGCUGAAGUGUACGCCGAGAGGGCAAAAGUGAUCGCUGAACAAAUCUGAACUGUGAACUGAAGCAUUGGUGCUUUUGCGUGGAACUUAGGAUGGGCAUAUAAUUUGUGUACUCAUGCUCUAUUGCUCUGCUCCCUCCUCCCCUUCUCCGCCUCCGCCGGCGCCAGCGACUCGAGGGGAAGAUAUUCCUGUGGCACGUACCGCACAUCUUGGUUCGUCUUGUCGAUGGUCUGAACCACCAUGGAUUAGCCUCUGAACCCAAGGCUAAUGUGGCGAUUCCAACGCAUGAUCUUGGUUACGUGCUUCCGUUGUUCAAUGCCAAUGUGAUCAGAUCACGGCUCGGUCAACAGAAGGAACACAUGAUAAGAAACUAGUUCAUUUCAAGAUAACAUUGCACAAUCAUCAAAUUAUCGGUAGGGAACACACAAGCUUGAAUAUUCGAUCGACAUUAUUCCUUAUCACCACACAUUCACAGAGCUCUCACCACUAACCCACAAAUCUCAAUCAUACAAGAAAACCAUAGCAACUGGCCCGACAAGAAGGUCCAGAGCACUCAACGCUGACACCGAGACAGGAACGCACACCAGCUCAGCUCAGGACUUGAGCUCAGUUAAUUUCAGGUCCAAACGAACGCCGCAACGGCAACCACGGCGGCGGCGACGCCCAGCAAGUAGCCUGCACCAUCAGAAGGGCCCGUCCCCGCCGCGCCGCUGUUCCCGUACUGGGCGCUUGCGGCGCCGAAAUGGGUGGCGACGCAGGCGACAAGCAGCAGGAGAGCAGCAACCAGCUGCUUGGAAGCAGACAGUUGGUCCAUCCUGCUGGGUUCAGAGCUCAGGUACCCUUGCACGUUCUUGGCGAACGGCAGGCUAUAUGUAGCCAACCGACGCCGGGGAUGGCACUCAUGAGUCAUGACAGCAUCAAAACGGCAAAUGGAGGGAUUGGAAGCAUCUCGCUAGCUCGCGACGGUAGCAACAAGAAGCUGGAUCUCUCCAUGGGUUGAAGCCUUGUUUUAACCGUCAAGUUCUGAACGACAGGUCAGUUUGACCGUUUCAAUGGAGUUCCCUUUGCCAACAUUUGGAGCCUGGAUCCAUUGAUCUGGACAGUUGGUUUGCGGCAUAUUCGUCUGAAAUUUUGAAGAAAAUGGACAGUUGAUGCUCCGGUAGCUACAAAGGUGAGGCCUUGCUUUUUAUGUGUCCACACCAUCCAUUACUGUAUGCAGCUUGCUGAUUGACAGCGUCAGUUCCAGUUAAAAAUUUCCUCUCCCUUUCAUGCUCUGGCAAUCAACUAGCAUGUGUGUGAUAAUGAACCAAUUAUUCUCUUUUGACACUUAGAAGUGAAUGCCAAAGGCGGCAAUGCCUGAUGCAAACUACUAAGUGUUAGGCACGGGCAAUGCCUCAUGAGAUCCUGCGUCAAAUUCUGAAACAAAACACGGGUAUAAGACGACAUACACACUUAAACCGCUUCGGACGUGCCCCCUCCACUUUUAUCCGGGCUUGGGACCGGCAUUGGCAGUGUUAGGCACCCCCCUACCCCACACCCUAACACGUACCCACAAGCAUAAACAAGAAAAUUAAACAGAACGAAAAAUAUCCCCAGUGCUCCAAUCACAACAAAAUUCAUCACGAUUAGUUAUCACUACAAACCACAUAUAGAAGGAGCUAUACAAACUGCUAGUAUUAAAAAUGCAACCAUCACAGCUAAAACCACUAAAUCAAACAAUAGUAAUUACAAACAGCACAGGCAAGGAGAAAAUUAUGCCAUGGCUGGGAAGACAAACUUGGAAUGAGCAUAUUUCACGUUAGCCAGCAUGCAAAUGAUGAUAAUCAACGACCAACAGAAACUUGGAAUAGCUCAGUAAACUCACAGUGCAAUUCGGCACAAGGACAUUACAAUUUUAUUAACAGAAGACACAACCACAUUGCAUUACUCAAAACUUCCAUAAAUGCGUCAAUUUAUAGCCUCAUACCACUUCAAUGCUGCAAAGAUGACGAGAAAAAUGGAAUCAAACAGCAACAUCAGGUUUCGCACAAACACACAGACACAACAAAAUGCUGCAAAUCAUCAAUUCCUAAAUAAGACUAGAAGAUUUUCAAUGCAACAAAAAGCAUACAUAACUCCUCAUCAACAUCUACUUAAUAGUUAUUGCACCUGAAGGUAACAACUAUAAAAGACAAUACCCAAUGAAAUUCAUUACCAUAAAUUAUUAUAAUCGGUAGACAACACAGGAAACAGGAGUCUACUGAAGGACACACACAAGGACUUCUAGGUAGGAUUCAACUCACAGUUAAAAAGACAAGUUCACACCAUUACCAAAUAAUGUAGUAUUUGAACUGCAUAAUAUACAACACAAAUGAGUCUUAUCCAGAAGGAAGGAUAUUAUAGGGACAUGGUCAUUAGUAUGGAUGCACAACUUUAGAAGAAAAAUUUCACACCAGUUAAAGAGUAACCAAGAUACACACUUCUUAUUUCUCACAAAAUUGAAGGACCAACAGUAAUGAUACUAUCAGGUAACAGAAACAACUUGUGUUAGGAGGCCGGCAUUACUAGUGAAGCAAAGAAAGAAUUCAAUAAUUCCUGUGUUAGGCUAUCUUAAGAUGAAAUGAUCAAUUAGUUGCUUGGAAUUGCUGAAUGCAAACAGUUAGUAUUGCUGAAUGCAAACAAUGUCUUGUUUCCUUUGAAAUUUAAUUCCAGCAAUUUGCAAACUAAAAUAGGGAAACUAUGAACUCAAAAAUAUAAUUUGUGCAACUUCAAAACAGUAAACUCCAUGACUAAUAUCAUAUGUACUGCAGUGUUCACCAAAACUUUGUACAAAACCUCACACAGGGUUUGUCAAAGAAAGUUGAAGAAAGGAUCUGAAUCACAUAAUACUUCUAGACUAGAAAACUAGACAAUAGAACAGUACUGAUAUGUCCUAAUCUAAACCCUUCCUAUGCACCUAAAAACAUGUUAAAUAUAGUUAACAGGAACCUAAUUGACCGUGGUUUAUUACAGAAAUAAAGCAACUAACAGCACAAUAAAAAAAUCCAAGCAUGAUAUGACAUUAAACAGUGGUAUAAAAGAACACAACUUACAACUGCAUAUAACAAUAAUAAAUACGAUUAACAAUUUAACUCUUAAGAAGAAAAAGACCAGCAGGUGUUUUACAGAGUAGCAUAAAACACCAAACCCAAGGGUUAGAAACUCAGUUUGGAUGUAACACAAAUGAAGGAUCUCUUAUCACAGAACUUAAGGGCCAAAACUUAUCACAGAAUUUAAGGGCCAAAAAUAAUGUUUCUUCUUAAUAUAAUGAUACCCAGCUCUCCUGCGUGUUCGAGAGAAGGACCAAAAAUAAUGAUAUGAGACAGCAAACAACUUAGCAAUACAGUUCAAACUGGAAAGGAAAAUAGGUAAGUUAGUAAUAAAUAAUUAGGAAAAAAAUCAGCGCACAACUCCAGUUAGAUAUCUACAGAUAUGCCUAGCUUGAAAUCAGCUAAAUUGAUGAAACAUCUAAUAAAAAUGAAGCAAUCAUCCAUUUGAACAAAACGAGACAACUCAGGUUUGUUAGUUCACAUGAUCACCGAGGCAACCUAAAAUAAAGGUUUUUCAGUAACUUGCAAGUAGCUUUGAUGGAGAGUGAACACCGCUAACAAAGAGUUUAGACUAGCAAACUACUUGCUUUUACAGAGAUGUCUAAAACUAAGCAUGGAACUUAACUAAUCCCUACUUGCCCCAUACGUUAGCACCAUUGCUACUGAAUAGAGUUAUAGUCUAGUAUCUAAUUGAUCUUCUAGACAUGCACAAAGCAAUACAAGCACGGAACUACACUAACAUAAUUGUCACAUAUACCAGCAUAAGCAAAUCAUUCAGAGAAUCCUCCAAAAUAGUAAUAAAGGGAACAAGAAAGAGCAAGAUGAUUAGGAAAAUUUACUAAAUCAAACUGGUUUUGCAAACUAGAACAUGAAUAAAUAUAAACCUUUUUCAGCUGGGACUCAUAACAACCAAAAAAACUAUGAGCAGACUUUCCUAGAGUCCUCUAAUCAAGGAAAGAUUCAAGUUCUGACUAGCUUCAGACCAAGAGAAACAAAAGGAAAUAGAAGCUAAAAGAUUUUGCGACUAAAUCAAAACAAAACGAUGGAUCAAUCUGAAAAGAAUUGUUCAUACUAUUAGGUUAUCGCCAACAGAACAGGAAAAUAACUAAAAAACCAUAUACAAUUAACAGACCUAAAUGCUUACAAAGAUUAAACCCAAAAUAGAUUGAAAUACAUUAAAAUAGUGCACAUAACAGUUUACUUGUUCAUUAUUAUGGUGGACAUCAAUUAAAAUAAACCCAUGCAGCCAAGAAAUAACUAAUACGGCCACAAUAUGCGUAGAUAGACAAGCACAAGCAAACUAGUGAAGAAGAUGCAAUAAAAUAGAGUGCUUUAUUGCAACGAGAAGAUGUAUGUUUACUUAAAAACUAAGCAGUUAUUUCUACAAUACUAAAAGAGAUACGAUUUCUUAACUGUGCACAGCUAGAGGUAUGAUUCAUUACAAUGCAUACUGUACACAUCUUGAGGUAUGAUUCAUUACAGCACAUAUUGCAUCAGAAUUGUUAAAAGUUGGUUACAAUAACUCCAUAAACAGACCUCAAUAAGGACCUAAAUAUGAAUGGAAAUUAAUGUUUUUUUUCAACUACAGUGUAUUUCAAAUCUGGAUUUUACACUAUCUCCACUGUUUGCUCAUUAUAGUGCUAGGCAAGGCGACGUUGCUCCGCCUAGCACCACCUUUUGAAACAGAGUUCAGGUUAGAAUUCUAUUGCUCCAAGAAUUAUGCAAAACAACCAGAUGUUAAUAAUACAUAGUGGUUACAACAAAUCCUUCUAUACUGAAAUUACACAAAUACAACUCCCGACAUAGAGAAGAUGCUUGGUCAACAGUACACACACAAACAUAAGUUACAACAGAAGGAAGCUGGCACUGAAACCGGCACAUGGUCCAGUAAAUGAAGGAACAUAAGAUGAUAAGAAGCUGAAAUCUAGUAGAGUCCGCAAAUCCAAGAUUCAUUCAAAACCAUGUGACGGAAGUAUCACCAGAGGACUAGGAGAUUCAGACCAAAGCACUACACCAUAAUCUGACAGAAGACCUUAAGGUACCACCAGAUAAACACGCAUCAGUAGCACAUCAGUAAGAAAACCACAACUUAGAGCAUACAUCCAUGGCCCUCAAAGCAAGAAUAGUACUUAGAAGAAUCUUCAAGCAGAUGGCUUCACAUGUAGCUAGCACUAAACUACACUGCACAGAUAUAGCAAUUAUAAAACCCACAUUCUGAAUUUCCUUGAAAUGAACCUUUCAAUUGAGCUGACUAUUUGAUAAUGAUAGAACAACAAGCCACCUUCAUGAGUGUGUCAAGAGUACUGAAUCAAAAUCCUGUUAUAGUACUGAAUCAAAAUUCUGUUCUAACAGCCAAAUAAAGCAUCGCUAUGUCAACCAUGAAUCCAUGAUUCAUACAGUGCGUGGAUCUGCAUACACCUCACAACCAGCACCAAAUAAUCCGACCAAUACUGCUUGCCGAAAUAAACAGCAAAUUGACACCAUAUACUUGUAAAUUCCAAACACACCUAAGCAAUCAUAUCUUAUCAUAACUAAACCUUCUGAUGAGACUGACUACCAUGAGAGGAACAUGCCAAAUGCAAAAACCGCAGAAUUCUGAGCACUCCACUUGCCUCCAUAUUCCAAUAACAAGUAUCAGGUACAGUUUCCAUCACAAAAAUUAUCCUGAACAGACCAAUCAUCAUGCAAACCAGAGACAGAUCGAGACCAAACCCUUCAGAUUAUCCUGUUUCGGCCAAGCCAAAUUUUCCGUGCUACCCAAUUAAAACCGAUCUGACCUUGAACAGAAAUCGAAACAAAAGAGCUGCAGAACCUUAGAUAUCAACAAAUAGUAAUUAGUCACAAAUCAACACAAAACUAUUUCCCCAAACAGACGGAUCCUGGGGGAAGCAGGGGAAUCAUCCAACCUAGACCUGGAAUCGAACGGAUCGAGCACCGCAAAGUACAAGCAACCCAAUCUAUCCGGCUAGCCCGCGCACCUGAUCAACCAAUCGACAAAACAAACAUGAGAUCGAAAACAACUGCGGCUGGCUCACCUACGACUUACCCAUCACCAGUUCACCACGACACGAUGGAGCAAGCGACUAGGGGAAGCCCCCUCUAUACCACGCCUACCGAUUCUAUUCCACGGUGAGGAAGAGACCCGGGGGUCGGGUGGCUUUAUAGGGCGCACAGGUCGGUAGUUGAUCGUCGGUUCCCCGACGGAGUCGGUUCCGCUCCGGCCGAGUUGGAAACGGAGACGAAGAUGCGAGGACCGUGGGCGUCCAGACCUGUGGUCCGCUGGCAGCUGGGGCCAGGGGGUUGUCACCACCGCCUCGAUUUGGUGGGCCCAUUCUUAUCCUCAUCAUCGCUCAAAACAAAACAGCAGCCGUGACCCGUGAGUGAUGAGUCAUGAUCCUAAUCCACAAGCAAAAAAAAAAAAAAAACAAAGAAAAAACGUUGCGUUCCCCGAUUGUGACGUUGCCUUACUGGCAUUGGUUCAAUUUUGUGAAAGGUUUUAACAUGAGUUUUUUUUUUGAAAGUUUAACAUGAGUUUCAGUGACACUAGAAAAACAAAAAAAAAAGAUAAUUCGAAUUAAAAUCAUCCUGCAGCUCCACUUAAAUGUGCCAAAGAAAUACUAGUUUUACAAAGUUUAUUAUGCAGAGCCCCAAUUCACCAGAGUUCAGUUCACGCAUUCCAUGCACAACAACAUCCAAAGAACAAGCAUGAAACGGAAUAAACAUUACCUGAGCUCCGGCCUUUCAUACUUGUCUUCUCCAGCUUCACCAGGAAUUGGGUGGUACCGAACAGCGUGAAUAGCAUAGUCAGCAUCGCCGCCCUCCUCCUCAACCCAAUGCGUACCGCAGUCGAAGCGCAGCACCGGAGUCGCAGAAGGCUUACUCACAAACACCUUCAUGAGUGCGGCCCUGGUCAUCAGCACUUGGCCCAUGAAAAUCGGCGGGGCGAGCAGCGCCGACACGAGGACCUCCUCGGAAUCGUCCCGGCGGUGCAGGAGUACAUCCUGCACGCGCGGGGCAUCCGAUACGGCGACGAAGUCCGGUGCGUCCUGCGAAGUGGGGGGAGAGAGAGGUGUGACUUGCGCGUGCGCUGCUGGAUUGGAAAUGGGGUCGGUGGAUCGCCGAGCAAGGGGAGGAGGAGGGUGGUGUGGUACCUGGGAAUGGAAGGAUGGGGGAGCGGACGGGGCGGAGGAGGCGAGCUCGUGAGAAAGCUCGGCGCGGACGGCGGCCAGGACGCCGCCGUCAUUAGCGCCGCGGCGGAGGUUCUCAGCCGCCGCAGGAACAUCGCUGCUGGGAGAGUGGAGACUGGUGGUGCGGCGAUGCGGUUGGCCGGUUGCAGACAUUUGCCAGUGCCGGUACGCACGGGGCCUCCUAUCUAUCUCGUGAAGGAUAGAUACGAGUUGAAACCAUAAAGCCUAAUUAAACUCAUUAGCUAUAACUACUACCUGGUGCUAGCUAGUUAAUUAUCCUGUUCUGUUGCAGCUGUUGGAGCCUUAGGUGAAUCAGCGUGAGGAUAAAAAAAAAUGUUGGAUGAGAAUGGUUGAAUCAACAUCUUUUAGAGAAAUGUUGAAUCAACAUUUUUUUCUCUGACAAAAGUUGAACCAAUAUUUUUUAAAGAAAAGUUGAACCAACAUUUUUUUAUAAAGUCCGGCCAACAUUUUUUCGACAAAGUUCGGCUACCAUAUUUUUAAAGUUGGACCCAACAUUUUUCGGAUCCUUCUUCUCCGACGCCGGUGGGGGCACGCGCUGUGGCGGGGCCACGCUGCAAGGGUGGCACGCACGAGGUCGCGGUGGCAGUAGCGGAGGGUGGGGGUGAGGUGACGGCUGGCGGCAGCGGGGGGCGCGACGGCCGGUAGCGGGGGGGGGGGGGGGGGCGCGAUAGCGGGAGUGGAGGAGGCAGAGGUGGGGUGAUGUGUGUUGGUUUGUGAAAUCCAAAUGUAAGUUGUUUUGCACGAAUCUGAGACACUUGAAGGUUUGGAAGAUGGAUAGAAUUUUCGGUUAGGCACGCAGGCAAGAACCCCGGCCCAACAGAUCAAAGGUCGCCGCAUGGGCUUUUUCGUUUGAACGAAACAUCUAACAUCGGUAUAGCAUGGAAAUAUUUAGGAGACUUUUGUCGAGUUUUUGACAUGUGGAUACACUUGAAUAUUCACGCGCAUUUCUUGCUUUGCUUUGUCUCCGGGUCUAGAUGCGGGCUUUGAACAUUUAUAGUAUGUACUAAACGCACGCUCCAAGCACGAAGGCUUUGCUGAAAGAAAUUGAUCCCGGAAGACCUUAGCAUCGCGAGUCUUCCGGAUGUUCCAAACUCCAAAGGACACUGCCCCGUUCCGAACGGCACAGCGGGCCAUAGAAGAUUUGUCUUCUCUUUUUUAUUUUUUGUUGCUGGGGGCUAUAUAAAGCUGGAUCUAACAUGUAAACCUGUAUCUUUCGAAAAAAAAACUAUGCAAACUUACUCAUAUCUUGCAAAAAGGGCAAACAUGUCGCGAAAUUGCAAUCGGUAUCAUCAAAUUUAUAGCUGUAAAUAUCGUUUUUUUAAAAAAUAAAAAAGGAUUUUGCAAUAUUCUGACCCAACCCAACUACUGAAACAGCGUACUAAGGGGGUGUUUGGAUACUAAGUGCUAACUUUAACCGUGUCACAUCGGAUGUUCGGAUGCUAAUUAGGAGGACUAAAUAUGAACUAAUUAUAAAACUAAUUGCAGAACCCGAUGCUAAUUUGCGAGACGAAUAUAUUAAGUCUAAUUAAUCCAUCAUUAGCAAAUGGUUACUGUAACACCACAUUAUCAUAUCAUGGACUAAUUAGGCUUAAUAGGUUCGUCUCGUGAAUUAGACUCCAUCUGCACAAUUAGUUUUGUAAUUAACCUAUAUUUAAUACUCUUAAUUAGCAUCCAAACAUUCGAUGUGACAUGUGCUAAACUUUAGCCAGCCGUAUCUAAUACCCCCUAAAUCGAGAGAGACAGCCUGCCGUGGGUUGGCCAACACAUGCAUGUUAGUAGUAGAUCACUCUACUUGUAUCAUACCUAAUCAGAUUACUAUAUCCUGCCGUUUUAGCUUUAGUUGGCCAUCAAUACAUUUUCUUCCCAUUUUCUUCACAAUGUCACACGUCGUAGUUGAUCGCUUCCCGGAGAUCUCAGAGGCCAUUGCUGGUCCGAUCCCUUGUCAACCAUCAGAGACGGACGGAAGUACCAAAGGAGUUGCUGGCACGACGAACACGGAGCCCACGCUGAUUCCGCUCGGGCCGUGCAACAAGGUCAACAUCCCCAGGACCACGCCUGGAGUCGUUCCUUUCUUUAUAUAUAUAUAAAUAACCUCUCUGUCUCUCCCGUCCGUGCUUGAAAGCUCCAUUUCCUCUGCUCUCGGCCUCGGCGAGCUCGCUCCCGGUGGUGGUGGUGGUGGUGGGAGGGGAGGGAUGGACUGGUUCGAGAAGAGCCUGCAGAAGAACUUCGAUCUGCCGCCCAAGAACGCCUCCGAGGAGGCGCGGCGGCGAUGGCGCUCCGCCGUCGGCGCCCUCGUCAAGAACCCCCGCCGCCGCUUCCGCAUGGUCGCCGACCUCGACACCCGAAGCCAGAACGAACUCAUGCGACGAUCCGCCCAGGUACCGCUUACCACUGCCAAACCUUCAGCACUCUGCCUGCUUCCCUCUGCAUAUCUCAUGCUCUGACUUUCUGCAUCUCCCCAGCGCGUGACGCUUUCUGCAUCUGCAAUUUUUUUAGGCCUUUCCAUGUCCACCUUACCCCAUUCUUUACUUUCUUAUUUCUUUAACCCAUUCUGCCUAACUGAAACUGAUUCAUCUUUAUCUAGUUACAUUCUCUGCAAAAAGGAAGAAGUGCAUAUUGCUGUUUUUUUAGAGCAGAAGGAACACCGGUUGGCCUCGUCUUGCCAUCACAUCGUCACUCGGGCACCUUCAUCAAUUUAAUUCCGCUUUGAUUACGCCUUAGUGCAAGUCUAGUAACCAUUACUAAUGCUAUCCCUUCGUUCAUGAAAAUGCUAUCCCUGGUACAUAAAAAUGCUAUCCCUUCGUUCAUGAACGGAUUCACGGGUCAAUUAUUCGCGCAGCACCGAGUGUGACUGCGACGUCAAGGAAACUUCCAGGAAGCAACCCAGCCAUAGGCCAAUAAGCGUAAAAGACUGUACUGACAAGUACAUACGCAUCACCUGACGUCCGAACCACAUUGGUUCUGUCGAUGAAGCCCCCACCUGGCAUAAUCUUCUGCAUAUAUUGUUUCAUGCCUAAUGCAAAACUUAGCCUUCCUAUUUAUUUGACUGGAUAUAUGCUCUAGGUUUGGCGCGUAGGGUGGGUACGGAUCCAUUUUUGAAAUAAAGAAAUGCUAGUCUGCUACUCCUAAACUACAGUAUUGCAUAUUUGUUUGUAUCUCAUACCUUAUAUCAUGUAAUGAAAGAACUAAUAUCUUAUACACGAAUUGUAAGAGCUUUUAUUCUUUGUUUCAUUCACCAGGAAAAAAUCCGGGUUGCCAUCUAUGUGCAGCAGGCUGCGCUCAAUUUCAUUGAUGGUACUACAUAACUCACCAUGUAUCAUCUUACUGUUUAUUUUGAUGCUUUACUAAUUCUAUCUAACCUGCGAACUAUCUGGUGUUGAAGGUGCCAAAUAUAAAGAGUACCGGAUAACAGAGGAUAUUAUCAAUGCUGGAUUUUCCAUCAACCCAGAUGAAUUGGCAUCGAUCACAAGCAAGCAUGAUGUGAAAGCUCUGAAGAUGCAUGGUGGGGUAGAUGGGAUAUCCAAAAAAAUCCGUUCAACAUUUGAGCGUGGCAUAUCUGCUAGUGACUUGGAUACAAGACAAAACAUCUAUGGUGUCAAUCGCUAUGCAGAGAAACCUUCAAGAAGUUUCUGGAUGUUUGUCUGGGAUGCAUUGCAGGACGUGACUCUUAUCAUUCUUAUGGUAUGUGCUUUGAUAUCAGCUGUAGUUGGUCUGGCAUCUGAAGGUUUUCCCAAGGGCAUGUAUGAUGGCUUGGGAAUAAUACUCAGCAUUUUGUUGGUUGUGAUGGUUACUGCUAUCAGUGACUAUAGGCAGUCGCUUCAGUUCAAGGAGCUAGACAAUGAAAAGAAGAAGAUAUUUAUCCAUGUAACCAGAGACGGCUCUCGACAAAAGAUCUCUAUAUAUGACUUGGUAGUUGGUGAUAUCGUGCAUCUAUCAAUUGGAGACCAAGUACCUGCUGAUGGGUUGUACACUCAUGGAUACUCCCUAUUGAUUGAUGAAUCCAGCUUGUCGGGUGAGAGCGACCCAGUUUAUAUUUCUCAAGAGAAGCCGUUCCUCUUGGCAGGAACCAAAGUUCAGGAUGGAUCAGCUAAGAUGAUGGUAACUGCUGUCGGUAUGCGCACUGAAUGGGGAAGAUUGAUGAGCACGUUGAGUGAAGGAGGGGAGGAUGAGACACCAUUGCAGGUUAAACUAAACGGAGUUGCAACCAUCAUCGGGAAGAUUGGCCUGGUGUUUGCCACAUUAACAUUUGUAGUCCUGAUGGUUAGAUUCCUUAUUGAGAAAGGUUUAACUGUUGGUUUGUCCAAAUGGUAUUCUACUGAUGCAUUGACCAUAGUGAACUACUUUGCAACAGCAGUCACUAUUAUUGUUGUUGCUGUUCCUGAAGGGCUGCCUCUAGCUGUUACUUUGAGUCUUGCAUUUGCAAUGAAAAAGCUAAUGAAUGAUAAAGCACUCGUAAGACAUCUUUCAGCAUGUGAGACAAUGGGAUCUGCUGGUACCAUCUGCACAGAUAAAACAGGAACUUUGACUACUAACCAUAUGGUGGUUGACAGGAUCUGGAUAUCUGAGGUUUCAAAGUCAGUUACCAGUGACAAUAGUUUGGAAGAUCUGAAUUCUGUCAUUUCUCCAACCACACUGGGCCUACUCUUGCAGGGCAUUUUUGAGAACACCAGUGCAGAGGUAGUCAAAGAAAAGGAUGGUACGCAAACUGUUUUAGGAACUCCAACAGAAAGGGCUAUAUUAGAAUUUGGCUUGAAAUUGGAAGGUCACAACACUGAGGAUAGGACCUGCACCAAGGUUAAGGUUGAGCCUUUCAAUUCGGUUAAGAAGAAGAUGGCAGUGUUGGUCUCAUUGCCCAAUGGCACAUACCGUUGGUUCUCCAAAGGUGCAUCAGAAAUCAUUGUGCAGAUGUGUGACAUGAUGGUUGAUGCUGAUGGAAAUAGUGUUCCCUUAUCAGAAGCUCAGAGAAAGGAUAUCUUGGAUACUAUCAACUCUUUUGCUUCAGAUGCUUUGAGGACACUGUGCCUGGCAUAUAAGGAGGUGGAUGAUUUCGAUGAUGAUUCAGAUAGUCCGACAGGUGGAUUUACUCUAAUAUCCAUUUUUGGCAUCAAGGAUCCUGUGCGCCCAGGAGUCAAGGAUGCUGUGAAGGCCUGCAUGUCUGCUGGUAUCAUUGUGAGAAUGGUGACUGGUGAUAAUAUCAAUACAGCUAAAGCUAUAGCCAAAGAGUGUGGAAUAUUGACUGAUGAUGGCAUAGCAAUAGAAGGACCAGAUUUCCGUAGCAAGAGCCCUGAAGAGAUGAGGGACUUGAUACCCAAGAUUCGGGUGCAUUUUGCUACCCUCAGCCUAUAUGUACACUAAUAAUAUCUUGCAACAAAUUUUAAUAUCAAUUAACAUUGGCAGGUUAUGGCUCGUUCUUUACCAUUGGACAAGCAUACCCUUGUGACGAACUUGCGAGGUAUGUUUCAUGAGGUGGUUGCUGUGACUGGCGAUGGUACUAAUGAUGCUCCAGCAUUACAUGAAGCAGAUAUCGGACUUGCUAUGGGCAUAGCAGGCACAGAGGUAUUAUAUUAUUAUGCAUUCAUGCUUGGACGUGUCAUUAGCAGGAACUGAUAUGUCACGGUUGAAUACUACAUAGAUAGUGAUUCUAAGCUGGAAAAUCAAUCUAUCUGGUUCAUUUUUAGUUCCAUUUUCAGCUAUGGCCCUGUUUGGGAGGAGGGUGCUAAAAUUUAGUCCUGGACUAAAAUUUAGUCGUCUCAAAAAGAGUGCUAAAUUUUAGCCUUUGGGGGUGUUUGGGAGGGAGGCUAAAGUUUAGCAACUGCUAUGCCAAAUGACCCUUUUACCCCUAGAGCGGCAUGAGCCAGAGGUAGUGGAUCUGCAGCAUCAUGUCGGAGAGCUGCUGCGCGUCGACGGCCAUGUAGUUGACGAUCAUGCCGAGCCCGUGCCGGAUCUGCAUCCCAAGCUUCUGGCAGCGGGAGGGACAGGACGAGCGCUGCCACCGCGAGCACGUUGUCGGGGAGCGUCGCGGCGCCGGCCCCAGACAGCAUGAGGCGCGCGACGGAGGUGCCAGCGAGGAGCGCCGGCAGCGCGGGCGCGGGCGGGGCCGGGUGGGGCCGGCCGGAGGUCGCGGCGGCGGCGGCGAGGCGAAGGCGGCGGGCGAGGUGGAGGCGGCGGCGGCGGCGAGGCGGAGGCGGAGGGCGAGGUGGAGGUGGCGGGACCGGCGCGGAGGUCCGGGCGGGGCUGGCCGGAGGUCGCGGCGGUGGCGGCGAGGCGAAGGCGGCGGGCGAGGUGGAGGCGGCGGGGCUGGCCGGAGGCGGCGGCGGCGAGGCGGAGGCGAAGGGUGAGGUGGAGGCGGCGGGGCCGGCCGGAGGAGGAGGCGGCGGCGGUGAGGCAGAGGCUGAGGGUGAGGUGAAGGCGGCAGGACCGGCGCGGAGGUCCGGGCGGCAGUUCGGGCGGAGGCAGGGAGAGAGAGAGACAAGGGGAGGAGAGAGAGGGGAGGGGGGCAGGGGGGAAAGUGGUCCGGGGGACCACUUUUUAGUCCAUUUAGUCCAUUUUAGCUACCCCAAGUGACUAAAGGAUUAGUGGGGGGCUAAAAUUUAGUCCACCAGUUUUAGCUCACCUGUUUGGAAGCACAAGUGACUAAAAUGGACUAAAGUGGGGGUGCUAAACUUUAGCACCCCUCUCCCAAACACCCCCUAUGUGAUUCGAAGAGUUUGUUUCUAUGUCCUCGCAAAAAACAUCGAUAAACAUUGACAUGUUUAGGGGCGCGUAUGUAAUCUAGUUCCAGUGGGGUGUCUGGUGUGUGUUCUGUACUCGGGUUGGACCCGUUCGUUUUCUCCUUCUUAAUGAAAUAGACACAGUUCUCCUGUGUCGUUCGAGGAAAAAAAAUCGUUAAACAUUGAUCUCUCUAGUUCUUUUUGCUUAAACCUCUUGCUGAUUGGAUACAUGGUUGGUAGCAUUAGACAUUUAUUAGAAGUUAUAACUCCUGACUUGCAAAAGCUUAUCUUUCAGCAAAUAUCCAUGAAGAUAAUGGGAUAACCUUACACUUCUGCAGGUAGCCAAGGAAAGUGCUGAUGUGAUAGUACUUGAUGACAAUUUUACAACUAUAAUCAAUGUUGCAAGGUGGGGUCGUGCGGUUUACAUAAACAUACAAAAAUUCGUGCAGUUUCAGCUGACUGUCAAUAUUGUUGCUUUAGUCAUCAACUUUGUCUCAGCAUGCAUUACAGGUGCGAGCAUCAUCUAUAAUACUAUUUCCAAUCCUGCCAUGAUUCUUGAUAUCCACUAUUCAAUUAACAAUGCUUUUGACUUUUGCCCUGCAGGGAGUGCUCCUCUCACAGCAGUGCAGUUGUUGUGGGUCAAUAUGAUUAUGGAUACAUUAGGAGCUUUAGCUCUAGCUACAGAGCCUCCCAAUGAUGACAUGAUGAAGAGGCCUCCUGUUCGGCGCGGUGAGAGUUUCAUUACCAAGGUCAUGUGGCGAAAUAUCAUUGGGCAAAGUUUAUAUCAGUUGGUUGUACUUGGAGCUCUCAUGUUUGGUGGGGAGCAACUUCUGAACAUCAAAGGUUCUGAUUCCAAAUCUGUUAUCAAUACACUCAUCUUCAACUCCUUUGUGUUCUGCCAGGUGAGUGCGUUGUAACCUUUGUCAACACACUUUUAGUCCUAACACCUAUGUGUGCUGUGGUUAAGUUAAUUUCAAACACUUUGUUUUUUGGCCCUAAUCUAAAAUUUGUAACCUGUUUGUCUGCAUGCUAAACCAAUAUACAUUUAUGGAACCUACAUGUUGCCAUUUCUCUGAAAGACAAGGGAAAAUAUCUGCAUUUGAAUUCUUUCCCGUAUUGUUAUGUCUGAUCAACGAUCAAUAUGAUCAUAUGGUGUUCUUUUAUUUAUGUUACUUCAGGUGUUCAAUGAAAUAAACAGCAGGGAAUUGCAGAAGAUUAAUGUUUUCCGUGGUAUGAUCAGCAAUUGGAUCUUUAUUGGAAUCAUAGCUGUAACAGUCGCAUUUCAAGUGGUUAUAAUAGAAUUUCUCGGCACGUUUGCCAGCACCGUUCCACUUAACUGGCAGCUUUGGUUGGUAAGUGUCGGCCUUGGAUCCAUCAGUUUGAUCGUUGGUGCCAUCUUGAAGUGCAUACCAGUUAAUUCAGAUGCAAGUCCUUCAAGUCCAAAUGGCUACGUGCCGCUUCCCAGUGGUCCGGAUAACAUAUAGCUGAAGAAGAGUGAUCGACAAGGUACUGCAUUUGCUAGCAUUAACGGGUCCAUGAGAACUCCAAAUACGCCACGCGGCUACCUUACAUUUCGAGUCCUGCUUGAGAUCAUUAAUAAACCACUGCCUAGGUUCAGUUUUAACAAAUUGUUCUAUGCCUUGUCAUGCAAUUGCUCGUUCUCAGUCCUGAUUGCAGUUGCUGAAAUGUAAAAAGAGAUGGUGAUGAACACAACGCACCCUAUUUGGUAUGGGUCAUGGAAACAAUGUUGUUGACUAAUUGAAGUACAGUUACUUUGUUCUAAUAAGCAAAGUUCAGUUUUAGUGCGUGGUGCAGCACUAAUGAUUGUUUUGUUGCGGCCAUCCAUGGCUGAACAGAGCCGAACGAAUCCUUAAAUAAGCUGAGGACAUAGUAAGUUAGUAACAGAAACGUUGCAUCUGUAAAGGAUCAUCGAAUCGACACUAAACUAGCUAGAAAGCGAUCCACGCACUGUAAUUUUACAAAACUCUACAGCAGUGGAUGCCCAAUCCCCCCAAUGUAUCAGCUCGCUCCCUUUUCGCCCCUAGGAUCAUCACCGUUUUCUCACACUGCACCGUCGCUUGGCUUUGGACAUGAGAAGGUGUUAUGCAUCAAUUCGUCGUUCAGCUGCGCAUCUUCACUGGAAAUUUUUUUUGAAGAGUCCAUCUUCAGUGGAAUAAUCAAAGCCGUAACCGAUCUCUACAAAUUGCUGCCAUCCCUCGUCUGGAAGAAGCACCUCCAAUGGCUGUUGCUCGUCCUUCACGUAUACGCCGCCAUUGACGCCGGUACAGUGGUAACUGGCCACGCCUUGUUCCAUCAUGGGCUGCUGCUGCCAGGUGGUUGGUGCCGCCGCAUUCACCAGCGCAGUCUGCGACGUGCUGGCAUAGGAGCACCCGACGUCGGUCGGCGCCGCCGCCGCCCAAUAACCUGCGGCGGCGAAGUCGUGCUCCUGGCGCAGCUCGCACCGCCGCUUCUUGGACGACCGGAGCUGGACCACCUCGUCGGUUUCUUGGCGUUCCUCGUUGGCGUCGUCGUCCGCCGCCGCCCUCGGCGUGCGGUGCACCCUGCAGAGCACCUUGACGCCGUCGCCGCCGGUGGCAUCGGGCAUGCUGCUCCCGAUCUCCUCCAUGAGCCAAGCGCUCUUGCCGCCGCCGGGAACGCGGUACUCGAAGGUCUGCCGGUACCCGUGGCGGCCGACGGCGAUCCGCUUCCCCGAGCCGUGCCACGUGCCGCCGCCCUGGACGGCGCGCGCGGCUCAUCCGGGUCCCGGCGUUGCCGUCCUUCCACCGGGCGACGCAGAGGAAGUACCAGUUGCCGUCGCCGUGGCCGAAGUGGCGGAGCCCCGACGUGAGAGUGCCCGGGUCCGCGCUGUAGACGUCGGCGGCGCACACGAUGCCCUCGGGCUCGCCGAACGGCGUCUGCCCGGCGGGGCUGGUCACCCACGGGUUGAGGUAGCAGAGGAUGAGCUCCAGCGGCGUCGGCGCGAAGCGGUAGCCCGGGGGCGCGCCCGGCCACGGCGCCUGCUCCAUCCGUUCUUGUUCGAAGCGCCAUCCGCGUGUCCGGGAUCCCGAGUUCGACUCGGUAGAGGACGGGAUCGCAUCCGGGGAGCGAGGUCCGACUCCGAGGUGUGCUAGGAUUCGGCCUUGCGCAACGCGGCUGCAGGUGUAGAAUUCCAUUUCUAAGCUUGACUUGUUUAGUUCACCCCAAAUUCUAACUUUAGCACUAUGCAAAAAGAAGAUUCCCUAUCACAUCAAACUUGCGGUGCAUACUAAAUGUAGACGAAAUUAAAAACUAAUUGCACAGUUUUGUUGUACUUUGCGAGACGAAUCUUUUGAGCCUAAUUAGUCAAUGUUUGGACAAUAAUUCACAAAUACAAACGAAACGCUACAGUGUACUGCAGUGCUGGCAUAGUAAUUUUAGCACUUCAAAAUUGAGCAACUAAACAUGGCCUACCGCUACAUACUGUGAUCGGCAGUGUAACGGUAACAGCACAAAGCUUCUCCGGUAGUAAUUCGCUGUCUGAAACUGUAGCAACUAGCGUCUAGCAAGCAAUCGAGUCCUGCAAAAAAAGAAAAAAAGUUAAAAUAGUAUAAGAUGAUGGGCCAGCUGUGAGCCUUGAAUGCGGUGACAAAGGCCGGGGCCCAUUGGUAUCUUUGCUCCCGGCUCGUUCAGGCCCGCAAGUAGUCGUCAUGGGCCGACUAGCAAAGCCGAAGCAAAAGGAUAAAAAACUUGAACCUAACAUUUCUUUUUUUUUUUACCGUGUCAGCUCGGGUUUUGCUUCCGUCGUCGUCUUCGGAGUCGUGCGGCGGCGGCGUCGCGGGGGCGGUGAGGGGAGCGGGCGAGACGAGGAGAUCGGCCUAGAUGGGGAAGCAGAAGGGCCGCGCGUCCAGCAGCGGCAUGGCGGCGUCGCUGGUGCCGCACGCCCUGGGCGCCGUCCCCACCGUCGGUUUCGGAGGCUACCACGGCGCCGUCCGUGUUGAGCCCGCUGAGCCCUCCGAACCCGACUCCCCGAUUCGGCUCACCCCAGUAUGCUUUCUCGCUCUUCCUUCCUUAGGUCUAUCGACGUGGCUUUCUCCUUGUCCUAGUUCUCUAGUUGGAGAAUUUGACUUGCCGAGUUUUAUUACUGCUUGGGUCCCAAAUUUGGUCCUUGCUCUCCGCGCAAGCGAAAUCAGACGAAGUGACAAUAACCAGUAUCAAUAAUUCGCAAGUUAUCUGUGCUAGCAAGGAUCCAGAAUCGAAUUGGCGUUCAGGUUUAGCCUUGGUAGGGAGCUGGACCUGAAUUUGUAGGUGCAGUAAUGAUCUGUUCUGAGUCCAACAUCAUCUAGCUCCCUUUGAGUUUACUAACAGCCUUUGAGUUUACUAAACCACUAACAGCCUUUGAGUUUACUAGCUUUGUUGUUAGUUUGCUUCUAUUUGUGGCUCCGCGCUCAUGGACAUUCUCACUGUCUUAUUUCUGAUAUGUGUGUGAAGGAUGUGGAUGGUGAAGUGCUUCAGAACCUAAAAAGGCUAGGAAGGAAGGAUCCAACAACAAAGGUCAGACUGCUAGUCAUAUUCUUUUCGUUUACCUUUAUUUUUUUCUCAAAAAUUUUGUACUAGUAACACUUGUGUUCUUGUAGUGAGAAUCUUUAGCUUAAAUCCACUUGUUUUACAAUCAUUUCCUUUCAAAGGAGCUACUCAGGUGCUCUAACCACUAGGCUAGAGUCCCUUUCGCAACAUAAUUCUCUUUGAACCUUCAAAGGUCAGAUAUAUGAAGUUAGAUGCAUUCCCCAUGUAGGAAAAAUACGUAUUAAAUUCUGGAUACUACACUGCAUAUGCUUUCGCUGAUUUGCUAUUUAUAAGUCUUUUUCUGUAACAUGUUACAAUUCUCUUUUCUUCUCUUCAAUGUAGCUCAAGGCCUUAUCUGCGCUCUCUACACUCUUUGCACAAAAACCUGGCGAGGAACUUGUGCAGAUUGUUCCACAAUGGGUAUUUUCUCCAUUGCCCUGUUGCAUUUUUAUCUUGAUUUUUAUAUCCUUAUGGCCCUAAUAUGAGUAAAGCUUAUUUGCCGUACUUCAUAACAUUUAAUAUCUUUAUGAAAAUAUGCCUAGUGAUAAAGUAGUAUUCUUUUUCUGUCAUAGAUAUAUUUAUAUUAUAUAUGCAAGGUCUUUGAUCAGAACAUAACACCCAUAUGGAGGUCUAGUUUCCUACAAACAAUUGGCAGCGUGGACUUGUUUCUUUUUUUGGUGCGAGUAGAUUGUUUCCCUGUAAUCUAUGGGUACCUUAGCUUUUUUAGACUUGUUAAAUGAGAUCACAUGAGUUCAAAACCAGUGUCUAGCUGUUCUGCUGUAGCACAUGUUAGUGCUAUAUUUGCUUAUGUUCCUAGUAAGCUUGAAGUUGAUGUGAAAAAAAGGAAAUGAUAACAUGGUUAAAUACUUAUUUGUUGCAUUAAAUGCUUUUAUCCAUUAUUUUGCUAAUCUCUUCAGAGUAUUUUGAUUUUUCAGUCCACUGAUUGUCAUGUCUGUUUCAUUAUAUGCUUGUACCAUCACCGUAAAAAGUACGCACUAUAUUAUUUCCCUUCUUUUUAGGCAUUCGAGUACAAGAGGCUUCUGCUUGACUAUAACAGAGAAGUUCGUCGUGCUACUCAUGAGGCCAUGUCUAGCCUUGUCACAGCAAUCAAGUAUGUCCAUCUCCUCCCAUUCAACUGAGUUGCAUCUAGGCUAUGCUGUUUAUAUUUGGUAGUGGUGCCUUGUUGGUUUUCUUCCAGUUAGAAAAGAUCUUAUGCCCCAGCAGGACCUAGAUUUCUGUAAUUCCGUUUAUCUAAUUUGCAAUUCUUUUCUCAUCUUUGAGUGGGCGUCAUUUACUCCAUUGUUUUAGGAAGGGUAUAGCUCCACAUCUGAAAUCCUUGAUGGGUCCUUGGUGGUUUUCUCAAUUUGAUCCUGCUCCUGAGGUUGCACAGGCUGCUCGACGUUCAUUCGAGGUGGGUGCUAGACUUUCUCUGAUUGAUGUUGCUGGCUGCAAGUUACUUGACCUCGACCACCUAGAUUUGCUGCAGCCAUUUCUUACCUGGAAUGCUAGACUAAAAUGACUAAACCAAUUGAGGGCUUGUUUUGAUAGGCUGGGAUUUACUCAUUCCCUUUGGAUUGGCAGGAAAGUUAGUUCAUUUUCCACCUGACCAAAGGGAUUGGGCCCAAUCCCCACGAGUUUAGGUAAGCCCUCAAAAUAACUGAAAAAUAACUCCUGACAGUUAACUGCAAGAAAUGGACCAUCGAUGUGGAAUUAUGAAUUUAUUCUUAUGUUCAGAUCUGGUUAGGGGAUGCACUCCACUGGUUGAUUUUUCAUGUAUAUCCCUCACUUGCCAUUAGUUGGAAAAGGAAAUAAAAAUAUUUUGAUUCCUUGUUAGCUGGGUAUAUAAGUAAGAACGCAAUUGCCCCUUGGGUUUAUGUACAUUCCAUGUAUUCGACGUAAAUUUCCUUGCAUUGCAAGGUUUUUUUUUCUUGGGGCCAAGUCCAUCUGUGUUUGUCCUAAGUCAAACUUUUUUUUAACUUUGACCAUCAAUGUAUAACAUUUUGUAUAGAUUGACAUCACUAGAUUCAUUCUGAAAUCUACUUUUAUAGUAUAUUUUACAUCUAAGAUAAUAUUUUUUUUAUAGAUUUUGUUGGUCAAAGUUUUAGCAUUAGCGUUGUUACUAGAGAGUUGUAUCCAGGUUCAGCUAGUGUCUAGGUUCAUUGCUAUUAGUGCUACCUAGGUUUCAGCAUGUAGUUAAAGAGAAUGAUAUGCGGAUCGUAUGGGCAUUGAUUGCAUGAAUUAGGAAGAUGUCGUGGGCAGCUGUCUAGUCCUGUGCAGUGUGAAUCCACCACAGAGAAAACUAUGUGUGUUUGUGAUGAACACCUAGAGAGAGAGGGAGGGAAUGAUUUCCAACAAAAACUAAAAAAGUUUGACUUAGGACAAACCUAGAUGGAGAUAUAUUUGUGAUCAUAGGAAGUAUUAAUUAAGCAAGAAUAAUGGAUUGGUCUUCAAUUAUCUCAUUGUGAGCCUCACUGCUACAGGUCAAGCAGCGUUGCUGGAACAGUACUUCACAGAACUGAGCUACCAUGGCCUAUGUAUAUAGACUGUCUCAUUGAACUUAAAAACCAUAUUGGCUUGAGUUUACAUAAAGAUAAUUCUAGAAAAUGUUUCUGUAAACUUGUAUUCUUUCCAAAGGGUCAGAUUGAAGCUCAAUUAUAGAAGCACAAAAUGUAUGCCAGCUAUUCAGUCUUGUCAGCCUAGCUUACGUUUAUUCUUUUGGUAAAAUACGCUUUAUAGAUCUUUUUAGUUCUAUUAACUGUUGGAAAGCAGUAUUUCCAUUUGAACUAGGGUCUUCCUCUAUCUUUGUAAUAUGUUAUAGGUUUGUUCACACGUUUCAGUUCUUUCUGUAGGCAGCAUUCCCACAGUCAGAGAGAAGAUUGGAUGCAUUAAUGUUAUGUGUGAAGGAAACAUUUCUUUACUUAAGUGACAACUUGAAGCUAACAACACAAGCUUUGUCUGACAAGGCUACACCUAUGGAUGAACUGGAAGAUAUGCACCAGAGGGUAUGAUUUGUGGUCUUCCAUUGUACUGAAUGUUGUGUAUUGCUCAGUCAGUUUUCCAUACUAUUUUUUCCCGUUUGUGCAAUCAGUUUCAAGAGAUUUCCUCUGAUGUAAAAUAAAUCAGUUAUGCAAUCUUGUAAUUAAAUUGAUGGAUUUUCCACCUUUCUUUUCCUUAAUGUUUACUCCAACUGAUGCUAUAUUUAAAAAUCAUAAUCGGUGCCCCCACACUCCUUUUACAUAGAAGGACAGAAGUCUGUACCUUCAAAUAAUAGUUCUAUUUCCUGAGGAGCGUUCAUGUUGUUUUGUUGCUCCUAGAGUCUUGGACAUGGUCAUUGGUUCCUUCUAUCCUAAACUUUCUAUUUGUAAGUUCCUACUGUGCUUCUAAUACCAGUUGUCCAUUUUCCUAUUUUCCUCUGCAGGUGAUAUCAUCAUCACUGCUAGCUAUGGCAACUCUUGUAGACAUUUUACUAGGAGGGAAAUUGCAAAAUUGUGAUGUUGAUAGUACCAGUACAGAAAACAGGAGUCUGUCAAAAGUUCGAUCUAUUACACUUUCGUCUGCUCAAGCCGCAUUUUGUAUGCAUAAAUGUUUCCUUGAUGCCCUCAAGUCGAAAAGUGCUGUUAUACGGUCAGCUACAUACUCACUACUUACAAGUUAUAUCAAACAUAUCCCUCAUGUUUUUGAUGAAGAAACCAUGAAGAAACUUUCUCCUACUAUACUUGGUGCAUUCCAUGAAAAGGAUGCGUCAUGUCACUCUUCUAUGUGGGAUGCAAUUCUUGUUUUCUCUAGAAAGUUUCCAGAGGCUUGGUCAUAUUGCAAUAUUCACAAAGUUGUCCUCAGUCGGUUUUGGAAUUUCCUACAAAAUGGAUGCUAUGGGUCCAAACAAGUCUCAUAUCCUCUUCUAGUUCAAUUUUUGGACUCUAUACCACCUAAAGCAGUCAUGGGACAACAAUUUAUUUUUGAUUUUUUGCAUAAUCUCUGGGCUGGAAGGAACCAGAGGCAGUUAUCAGCUGGUGACAGUUUGGCUUUCUGUAUUGCCUUUAAACAGUGUUUUUUGUGGCUUCUAGAAAAUGUGUCAAGGUAUCCUUUCUCUGAACUAGUUCAGAUUGCAAUUGUUUUGUGAUUAAUUGAUUUCCUGUGUAAUUACCUUAUCUGUUUUUACAGAUAUUCUGGAGAAGAUUCUUCUGUUGAUACCCCCAUCAAGCUUAUAACAGAUAUACUUGCCAAAAUAGUUUGGCGUGACUAUCUUUUAUUGUCUGGUGACACAACUGGUAACAGUGUUCAGUUAUCUCAUAAAAAUUCAGGGUCAGCGGCGGCGAACACGCAGUACCCAAUGUACUAUCUUCAGGGUUUGGAGAAAUGUAUUGUUGAAAUACUGGAUGUGAUUGCGGAUACAGAAAAUCAUUUACUCAAUAUUUCUUGUGAGUUGUUUGUGAGGGACUGUUUGGACAUAAUUCAACAGGGGGAGAAGCUUUCAAAGUUUGAGGAUCAUGUAGAACAACUUGUGUCUUUCUUCCUAUCUUUGGAUCAACUUGUUGUACACAAAGGUGAAACAUGGCCACUGGAAAGAUUAGCAAGACCGCUGGUUGAACAAUCUUUGCCAGCCAUCAAGUUCGUGGUAAGGCCAGACACUUGAUUUUAGCAUGAAGUCCUUAUUCUUCUACCUGUAUACUCUUCUUUGAAUUUAUGCUAUACAAUGCAGUUACACAACUUACUUAGCAAUUGAAGUUGGUUCUAUAAGACAUUGUGCUAUUGAUGCAGGACACUCCAAGCUUGGUUAAGCUUCUUUCAGUUUUGGUUGAAAUAUUUAGACCCAUUCCCCUAUUUCUAAAGAAUAAUCAGAAUCAUGAUGAAAAUUCAGAUGUGAAGUCUUAUCUGGAGUUGUUCAAUGAUGACCUUCUCCCUUGGUGUUUUAAUGGAAAAUAUAGCACCUGUAACUCAAAGAUUGAUUUGUUGCUUUCGUUAUUUCAAGACGAGUCCUUCUUUGACCAAUGGUGUUCCAUCAUCAAAUAUACUGGAGCUGAACAAAAGCACUCUAUUGAUGAUAAGACCUCAAACAUUAAGAACCGAUUAGAAUUGCUUACGCUGUUGCUUCAGAAAAUCAGAGAAAGAAUUGCUGGGGGAAAGCUAAGGAACUUGCAGAAAAAUGGUUAUCUUCCAGAGCAUUGGCAGCAUGAUCUAUUAGAUUCUACUGCAACUUCUGUCAUCUGUGAUUUGCCUGCUGCAGAUUGUCAUGUUAGUUUUCUAUGGUAUGUGCUUCAUUCCCUUCGUAUUUGUUCCUUUGUGAAUGUUUUUGUUUCCAGGUGCCAGAACAUAGGUGUCAUUUGACAUAAUUUGUAUGUGUAAAAUUUCAGUGCUGCACUUGGUGGCUCGGAUCAAGAGGAUCAAAUCUGUUUUCUUUCUGCUGAGACUGUUCAUAAAGUUCUUGGAUCCAUUUUAAGGGAUUUGGCAUCGGCACUCAUGGCAUCAACUUUUGAAUGGCCAAGGCUUGCAUAUUCUCUUUUGCUGUCUUCUGAGCCCGAGUACUUGAAGCUUCCAGAAGAAAAUUCCUUGCCAAUUAACUUUGAGAUGGCUCAAUUCGCUUUUAAAGUGCUUCAAGGUAGCUUCUUUUCACUAUGGAGACUUGAGGAAGAUUCUGCAUUUCCUUCUAUUCUGGCAGCUCUGUUUGUCAUUGAAUGGGAAUGUAGCAUGUCUUUAGCUAUUGAUGAUGAAAAUGAUUUGGAAGGCCAUAUAGAAGAUAUGGAUGUUGGUUCUUCUAUGCACAUAAGUUCAAAAGAUUAUUUGGAUGAGAAAAUGCAUUUGAAGGCCAACCUUGCAGAAAGCAUACAUGCUUUUUGCCAAAGCUUAAGUCCAUCCUUUUGGAAUAACCUUCCUUCAUGCACAUUGAAUAGAUUGGCAAAUAUUCUAGCUCAAUCUGUCAGGUAUUCUGUAUUUCAGACGAGAGACUUGCAUGUGGAGAAGACAGCAGUCCUAUGUUCUGAGUGGGUGGUGGAAAUGUUGAAGCUCAUCUGUCUUGAUGACAUAAACUUGCAAAGCUUUUUUGAUCUGUUGUUAUCCGAGGGAGAACACUGGCCGCUCUGGUUGAAGCCAUGUUUACAAAAUGGGCAUGCAUCUGUGAAGGUCCAGUUGGAGCCGGCUAUUACAGAUGAAAUUGUAAGAGUUCUUUUAUCUGUCUUCUCUUCCCAUAGUCCUUGCUUCUAUUUAGCACAAAAUAUUUGAGUAGCACUUCUUUGAGAUGAUGAGUCUUAUCUUUAUGAAAUUUCUGUGCAUUUCUUAGCUAAAUGUGUCGCUUAUCAGUAGAUAUUAUUUGUCCUCAAUAUUUAUUUUAUCUGUACUGUUCUAUCUACUAUCGGAGUUAUGUUUUGAAAUUAUGAAAUGGCACUUUAUUUGUUAGAGUUCUCAGUCACUGUAGUAGCUCUGGAGAACUAAAUCAAUAAUUCCUUUGGUGCAGGAACUGAAACACGAGCGGUUUGUUGCUUUCGUUGAUAGGCUUAUUCUCAAUCUUGGCUUUGGUGAAGUGAUUUUAGGUAUUCCAGGAAAUCUACGACGUGCCUCAUCACAAUCAAUUGAUAUUACUUCACCUAUCUCUUCCUUGUCUAGAGCAUGGGUGGCUGGUGAGAUCCUUUGCACUUGGACAUGGAAAGGGGGAAGUGCACUGAAAACAUUGUUGCCUUCUCUGGUUCAGUACAUGAAAGAGGAAUCACGUCUUGAGGUUGGCAUUGUGCCGUUGUUGCUUGACACGCUGUUAGGUGGCGCCCUUAUGCAUGAGAGUGGUCCGUGGGUACUGUUUAAUGCUUGGCAUCUUUCUGACAACGAGAUUGGGAAAAUUCAAGACCGUUUUCUCCGUGCUCUUGUGGCUUUGUUAUUUACUACUAACAUCAAGGAUUGUCUUUGGAGAGAAUCUGAUGCACUUGUAUUUUUUGAGCAACUGUUGAGCAAUCUUUUUAUGGGCUCAAUAGUGAACAGAAAGUGUCUGAAAGUUCUUCCCUUUGUUAUGAGUACCAUCAUAAAACCCCUGUCACAGAAAUUGAAUGAAGAUUCUUCAUAUGCUGAUUUAGUCAGGAAAAGCAUAUUGAGUUGGCUUGAGGCAGCCAUCUCUUGCCUGCCAUCCAGCCCAAGGGAAGUACCAGUGCAAGGUAGGCUUCAUUAGAAUUCUCACUAGAUAACUCAGGUACAAUAUUGCCUUUACAAACAUGUAAUAUGAUCUCUUACUUUGUCAGAUAUUGAGGACUGGAUGCAAGUGGCACUGUCUUGCUUCCCAUUGAGCAUAACUGGAGGAGCUCAGAGAUUGGAAGUUACGGUUGAGCGAGAAAUCAGUGAUGCAGAGAUAUCACUAAUGCUGACACUCUUUCAGAAAUACCAGAUUUUCUAUAAGGGCUUGGCUUCGCCAUUGUCCACUAGUGAAACUGUAAUAUCAAGGAUAGUUGAGUUACUGGGGGUGAAAUUGACGGCUGUUAUGGUUGGGUAUUGCUGGACAAAACUUCAGGAAAAUGAUUGGCAUUUUGUGUUCCGCAUGAUAUUCAAGUGUAUUGAAUCAUCUGCUUUGCUUGUGGAAGAAAUGACAGAUGGCGUAAAUGAUGCCGUAAUAAACCAGGUAUCAAGUGAAGAUGCCUUGGAGAAGCUUAAGUUAGUGGUUAGCACUACAGAUAAGUUAACAUUAAGCCUUGCGGAAUCUGCUCUGGUUACAUUGUGUCACCUCAACCAUCUUGGUAAUCUCCAAGCAGCAGAAAAUUCCCAGAGUUUGCAGCUUAUUAGAUCAGGGGACUAUGUUGAGAGUACUAACAAGAUGGUGGAGACUAUCCUCCGUUUGUUCUUGGCUACUGGUGUUUCAGAGGCAAUUGCCAAAUCCUUUGGUGAAGAGGCUUCAUCCAUCAUAGGUUCUAGUCGCCAUGCUUAUUUGCAUUUUUGGGAACUUGUAGCGUCAAUCAUAAAGAAUGCUUCACCACAGAUUAGAAAGUCUGCACUGGAGUCCAUGGAACUGUGGGGACUUACCAAGGGUUCAGUCAGUGGACUGUAUUCGAUUCUUUUCUCCUCACAACCAGUGUUUCACUUACAGUUUGCCGCUUUCUCUCUACUUCUGUCCGAGCCCUUCUGUCAACUUUCAUUGCUCAAAGAUAGUUCUCUGAGAGAAAAUUGCUCAUCUGCUCAACGAUCAGACAUAAGCCAAAGUGCCGAGUUGAUGCCAGAUUCAGAGAAAACUCUAUGUCUCAGAGAUGAACUCUCAGCCUUAGUUGAAUUCCCAACAUCUGAACUUCUAAAAACAGAUCUGACAACACGAGACAGGGUAUGCUAUAUUUACGUCUUUUAAAAUUUAGAAGCUAUUUCUUUUUGUUAUGUGCUAAUGGUUCUUUUGUGUUUUCUCUCACCAGGUUGAUGUCUUCAUUGCAUGGGCAUUAUUGUUGUCACACCUGCAAUCACUACCAUCAUCUUCCAUUAUUAGGGAAAAUGUACUUCAAUAUAUACAGGAGAAGGUCAGUCCGUGCAUAUUGGAUUGCAUUUUCCAGCACAUCCCAGUGAAGACUGCUGCUCCUAGUGGGAAGAAAAAGGAUGCUGAACUGGUGCCUGAAGUGGAGGCUGCUGCCAAAGCCUCUAAGAAUGCCAUAGUUACUUGUUCAUUGCUGCCAUACGUGGAAUCUCUUUCACCAGUUGGGACUUUGCAAAUGGCUUCACUUGCAGGAUCAUUGUAUGGAAUGAUGAUUAGAUUGCUACCUUCUUUUGUGCGCACAUGGUUUACUACUUUGAGAGACCGUUCAUUGUCAUACUCAAUUGAGUCGUUUACUAGACAAUGGUGCAGCCCUCCUCUUCUGCUAGAUGAAUUUUCUCAGGUAUGUGCAUGCUCUUCGGUGGCAAAAUACACUUUAUUCGCCAGCUCUAGUAUUUAUAGGGCUCUAUUAACUAGCGCUUAACCUCUUUGAAAAACAACCUAUUAGCCUGUGAUGCAACUUAGCUGCAUUAGAUGCACACUAAUUCAUUUGGUUUUCAGUAUGUGUUUCUUUUGUUGAAAUCAUGCAGUUAGAUUUGAGUGGGGUACAUCUGUACAUUUAAAUCAAAUAAUGUUAUUCCAAUUGAAAUGGAGUUCUAUUAUUGCCUCAGCAGCUAACUAUAUCUCUUUACAGGUUAAGGAUUCUGUGUAUGCUGACGAGAAUUUCUCAGUUAGCGUCAACAGAUCGGCUUACGAAAUCGUUGCCACAUACAAAAAGGAGGAGACGGGAAUUGAUCUUGUCAUACGCCUCCCUAACUGUUACCCCCUGCGCCAUGUCGAUGUUGAAUGUACCAGAAGUUUGGGCAUCAGUGAAGUCAAGUGUAGGAAAUGGUUGCUUUCCCUCACAUCAUUCGUCCGCAACCAGGUAAUUUAGUUAUGUUCCCAAAGCAAGGACACUAGAUAUUAACUGAUGGCUUUUGAGAACUAGGGCACUAGAUAUUAACUGAUGGCUUUUGACGCAAGGACAUGGAAAAGACAUUUGAUCAUAUCUGUAAGGCUUCUGUUAGAGAAUAAUGUAGCGCUCAACUAAGCUGGUUGCUUCUUUCUCUGCAGAACGGCGCGAUAGCAGAGGCGAUCCGGACGUGGAAGAGCAACUUCGACAAGGAGUUCGAGGGCGUGGAGGAGUGCCCAAUCUGUUACAGCAUUCUCCACACGAGCAACCACAGCCUACCGCGGCUGGCGUGCAAGACCUGCCGGCACAAGUUCCACGGCGCCUGCCUCUACAAGUGGUUCUCGACGUCCAACAAAUCGACUUGCCCGCUGUGCCAGACUCCCUUCUAGGCAUGCAACUUUGUUGGAACCGUUCAAUAUCUUUCUGUAAAUGGCGUGUGUAUGUAGUGUUCAGCGCCUUAGACCCAAGCAGGCUUUUUUACCCCGUUAUCUCGUAGAGGAAGAGACAUACGACUCCGAGUUGUAAUGCCCAGUUGCUUAACUAGUGUACACGGCAAGCUCCUUUUUUUACAAUUAAAGUUUUAUACACCUCUUAAUGAUGCCACGGACCACGACAAUGAAAUGCCGGUUCCUGACCGAUCGCUCUCAUUUCUCCUCGCCCAGACGAGGCAGGUGACGCUGGCCUGCGGACGGUGGUGAACGCAGGUACAAACUGGGUCUCGACCGUUGUUACCGGGCGCUGUCAAGUAGCUCGUGGCGGCAACCUUGCAAAAAGGUGCUGACGACCCGAGUGGCAGAAGCAUGGCACAAAAAAAAUAACUAGAUUGUUCUUGUUGAACAAACACACAAGUGCUAUAUAUAAGAUGCAGCAUUUUCUGAGGCUAACCAUACACACCCACAGGCACCCCAGCCAGCACAUUCACCGGUUUUAUUUUCUGUCAAGAGUACAAUUUUAUGAUUCGCAACGCAGCAACACCAGUCAAAUCCCAGAAUUUAAACUCAGCUAAGAACAACUCUGCACAUAACCAUUUUUACACAACUGGCAUGCUCUGAAGUCUGAACUGUGGAGUACACUGCCACUAGGCGAUGAGGAAAGGGAGCACGGUGAGCAUGAAAGCCUCGUAAGUAAAAGUCGCAGACCCGGAGUAUGCGGUGUCCUUCUCCUUGAACUUCUCAGUCAGUCCCUGCAAAUUAUUCCAAUCCAAACAAGUAAGCACAGGAUAUUGGAACAAGACGCCAAAAAAAGGAGUUUGCUGAGACUAUUUGAGCUUGCGCAGUAUGGUGGAGGCAUACCUUAACAGUGAGACAGCAUCUGCAGAGGUAAAAGAAAGAAAAGGUGAAAUAGUUAGGAUUGUGGCACUGGGCAAACUGAAAGCAUAUUGGAUGUAUUCACUCUUUCCAGUAUUAAACAUCAAAAUCAUCGUGUAUCAGAAAAUAUGGCUGAAACGUUGGAGGAUAGUUGAUGAACAAACCAGUUAUUAGUUUGACCUUUUGCAGCUUGUUAGUUAAGACAAGUUUAAUUCAAAAUAUGGAGAGAAAAAAACUGUUCCACCAUGAUAAAUUUCAUAGGCGCUAUCAGUGGGUUAUGGACAUCCACGACAACAGCACUGUAUGAUUCAUUAGACUAUCCAUAACAGAAAAAUCUGAAACAAAAAAAUUGGCAAACAGUGAAGAAAUAAAGACGAAUUAACUUGAAGGAAGGCCCUUACUCAAUGAAGUUAUCAUAUUCAAUUGCUCUGCUCUUGCCCCCAGUCUUGUCAAAUUUAGACACAAGCAGGUCUAGCACAGUUGGAGAGACAGAAUAUCCCAGACUGAGAAGAGCAUCACGCAGUUCUGAGGAGUCAAUCUUUCCACUUCGAUCACGGUCAAACCUUUCAAAUAUUCCCUGAACGAUACAGUGAAAUAUUAGUAUGUGAUACUAAGCAUUACUUUAUUACAUCAACCGAUUGGUUUGCUUAUAUAGCACAGAAGUAAAGGUUAAAGAAAAGGAGCAAUAAGUUGCAGAACAUCUUACUCUCCAAUUCUGAAGACUAUAAAACACAGAAGUAAAUUCCUUGGGUCCUGAAAAGAUGGAAAACGAAAAUUAGCAUUUGAAAUACUUAGGAAAGUAAGAGGUACAGGAGAUACAAGGGAAAUGGUGAAACUACUAUAUGCAUGUCUCAUGCUUGUGGGGAAAAAGGAGAAAGAAACACAAACUAUGCCAGACUGCCAGUGUUAGAGCGAAUGGGUAGAGAGUGACAUGACCAGUAGGCAGUACCACUUCAUAGUUCAUACUGCAAAGAAGUUCCAUGGUUGCAAUAAGACUGCUAACAAGAACUUCAUGUUACUUGCAGCAUGUACUCAUGAAUUGAACUCGACAUUUCUUAGCAAAAGAAUAUAAAAACAACAUAGAAAAUGACAAAGAAGCACAACUUAGUGCUGAUCUUUGGAGUUGAGACUAGAACGUGACAACCCAUGACUUGAUCUCUACAUUUUAGAGCAAAGGAAAACAGAAACAACAUACGAAACUCUUGCAAAAGUGAUUUAGCUUGUGAAGUUAGUAUUUUCAACUUAUAUAGAAUCCUUAACAAACAGAAUCGGAAUCUAAAGGACUCUAGCAAACAUGAGGGUUCACCAAACUACAUGCAUCACAGAGAAGUGAUAUGCCAGAGCAGAAUCACUUCAUAGUUCAUACACUACAAAAAGAAAAGUCCCAUGGUUUCAAUAAGAUUAGUAAUUGGAAUUUCCUGUUAUUAUACUUAGUGCUGUACUGCUGUAUCUAUGGUGUGUGGCUGGUACUUGGCAACAACCCUAUAAUGACUGAAGUCCUCUACACUCUACUCCGCAUGAUCAUUUUCCACAUAAAUAAAUGGAUCUACUUGAUCAAUUCAAUACUUAGCCACUUAGUACAAAACGAAGUAAACUCUCUAUUUCUUUAAGUAAAGAACAAAACGCCAGUGCAGUCUACAGACCACGCCACUCUGUGUGCCUAUGACGGGGAAACCCACGAACUACGAAGAGCUGCACAUGUACAAGUACGAUACAUCAGGCCACGUAAAAGUCUUCCACCUCCCGAUUCCCAAAGUCAAAUACGUCGGGCAAUUAGUCAGAGUAGAUGGGCAAAUCCGGAGACAUACACGCGCUGCGUUGGGCUGCGUGCACGACGCAACACUAAACCAUAGCACCGCUGGCCAGCACGAUGGCUGCCCACGGCGCACUCGAGCCGCGAGCCGCGGACUGGAACGAACAAUGGCAGGACGGAGGGAGGAGAUAAUGGGGCUUACCGAUCUUGCGGACGUUGGUGUUGGUGAACAGGUACAUGAGGAGGUGGACGGUGCGGAGGCUAAAGCUCUGGUUGUACCCGGAGAGCGCGGCCUGCAGCUCCUUGUCGUCGAUCAUCCCGCUCCCGUCGCGGUCCGCCGCCUGGAAGCAGGCCACCACGUUGGGGUCGGUCCCGGGCGGGAACGCGGACGGCACCAGCGACGCGAACGGGCUCCCGUACCCGCCCGCGCCCCCGUACGCCGUCGGCGGCGGGGCCCCGUAGGGCGCCGAAGAGGGCGGCGGCGCGCCGUAGGGGGCGGAGGAGGGUGGCGGGGCCCCGUAGGGCGCGCCGUACUGCUGCCCGGCGGGCGGGGCCCCGUAGCCUCCGCCGCCGUAAGGCUGGGAGGAGGGCGGGGCGCCGUAGUAGGGGGGCACGGAGGAGGAGGAGGAGGUCUUGCCUUCCUUGGGGGGCUUCUCGCCGUAGGGCGGGGCGGAGGGGGCCGGGGAGGAGCCGUAGGGAGGUGGGGCGCCGUAGCCUCCGCCUCCGCCGGCGCCGGGGCCGUAGGGGUAGCCGGAGCCGUGCGGCGGGUAGCCGGCCAUGGGGGCUUCCGGGCUUGCCGGCGACGAGAUCGCACACGGGAGACGGUGGCCGGUGGGGAAUUGGGAAUCGAGAGGGGUGCUCGGAACGGAACGGAAUUGAAUGCGAUGCAGCGGAGCAGGUUUGAGCAGGGGGAGGGGGGACGGGAGGGGCCUUUUAUGACGUGGCGAACCAAGGCGGGCUCGGAAGGUUUGGGUUGGACUUGGCCAUGUUUAGUUGACCAAUUUUGAAGUGCUAAAAUUACUGUGCUAGCACUGUAGCACACUGUAGUAUUUCGUUUGUAUUUGUGAAUUAUUGUCUAAACAUUGACUAAUUAGGCUUAAAAGAUUCGUCUCGCAAAGUACAACAAAAUUGUACAAUUAGUUUUUAAUUUCAUCUACAUUUAGCAUUCCAUGCAUGUACUGCAAGUUUGCUGUGAUGGAGAAUUUUCUAGUGAUAAAGUUGGAAUUUGGAGGUGAAGCCCAGAGCGCGUCAAGAAGGCAAAGAAGGCUCGGAGCCGCGGCUUGCGUGACCGCGGACAACGCCGACGCGGCGCCGGCGCGUUGAAGCGAUCACGUCCACCGUGUUGUUUGGUGACGAAGGAUCAGCGUGGCCAUGCCUGCCGGGCAGGUUGCGGCGAGAGGAGGAAGCAUCGCUCACGCCUGCAUGCAAUGGAAUGUUCCUUCUCCUGUAUGCAGACUUGAGAAAUGAGAAAAAAAAUGUGGACAGGAGGAGGAGCAUGAAUGUUCGGAUGGGCCAAGAUCAUGGUCCGAGAUACGGGCCCAUCUUGAUGAGUUAUGGCCCAACCCCAAGGAUGCUUGCCCGCCACUACUGCCUGCUACCGUGCCAACGGUUGGUUGGUUGCCAUUUGCCAUUGCCAACGACCACACGUCUCACACGUGACACGUCGUUCUUGGAGAGAGCGCCGGUAGCCCACCGCGCGCACGGGAGCGGAAUGGCCACCAUGGGCGUGGUCAGAGCAUGCGCGCCUCCCGCCGCCGCGGCCACAGCUGCUGCCAAGAGGAAUCCCUCCAGGAGCGCCCGCGUGCUCGUGCUCGGCGGCACCGGCCGUGUGGGAGGAUCCACGGCCACCGCGCUCUCCAAGCUCCGCCCCGACCUCAACAUUCUCGUCGGGGGACGGAACCGGUAUCCACCCUGAUACUACCUCCCCUGAAUCAGCAGAGUAUCCUUGUUAUCUGUUCAAGCAAUCAAGCUGCAUAUCAAAAUACAUAUACAUAUACAUAUACAUACAUACAUACAUACAUAUAUAUAUAGACACACACAUACAUACAAGUAGAGUAUACUCUAUGCCCGGCCAUAGAAUAGCUUAUUCUGUGAUCAGCCUAUCCAACGUACUAAAAUAGUUACAAUUACUUGAAUGGUUUCAGACAACAAUAUAGUCGACUUGCUAGAAUUGAUGUAUCCAUUCUUGUAUGCCGCAAUUUACUAUAAAUUGAUUGUACCUUAUUGGUGGCCAUUUCGCUAGGGAGAAAGGUGAAUCCUUUGCAGCUAAGCUUGGAGAGCAGUCUGAAUUUGUCCAGGUUGAUACCGGCAAUACCAACAUGCUGGAGGACGUGCUACAGGGUUAGUAAUGCAGCAUCCUACUUAUGCUGCGGCUAAAUCAAUCAGAAUUUAUCGAUUCAUGGUACAAUUCCACAAUAGCAGUAGCAGCUGCAAAGCUCCAAACAACCCUCUGCAGACUCCCGAUGUUCAAGCCCCUAUUUUAAUUUUGCUUGAGAAGAAGCAUAACUACCUGAAAUUUUCUUCAUUCCCCACAGGUGUGGAUUUAGUUGUCCAUACUGCUGGACCUUUCCAAAGGGCGGAGGAGUGCACUGUGUUGCAGGCAGCGAUAUCUACUAAGGUAGUGCAGAAAGUUUGCCAAUGGAAAAAUGACGUGCUUUAUGCACGAUUGCUAAUUUUGUAAGAUCAAUUGAAGAAAAAAAUAAAAUGCUAUUGGUACACUUUCUUUUCCUGAGCAGACAGCAUAUAUUGAUGUUUGCGAUGAUACUGAUUUUUCGUGGAGAGCAAAAGGUUUCCAUGAACAGGCAAAGGCCGCAGGUGUUCCAGCUAUUACUACUGCUGGCAUAUAUCCUGGAGUCAGCAAUGGUAAGGAGUGCACUCGAUUGCACGUUUGUACAGACCUUCUUUCAGGACAGAAUGUGAUGCAAAUUAAAAUGGACCACACCAAUUUUCUUACAAAAAAAUUAAUUAAAUUUCUACAUAGAUGGUGUUUCUUCUGGUAAUAGAAGUGGCUAUUUAGAAGAUGCAGAAUAAUUGACUUUUUUACUGAUUAUUAAUGUAUUGUAUACUUCUCUGGUGACAGUGAUGGCUGCUGAGCUUGUACAUGCUGCCAAAAGUGAAAAUGGCGAACCUGAGAGAUUAAGGUUAGAGUUCUUUAUUUGCUAGAAACGAAAAAUACCCGUUAAGUGUGGAAAGGGUGGCUGGAGCUGGAUAUAGUUUUGUGUUGGUAUGUAGCGGUUUUAACCGUACACGUAUAAUAUGUUCUCUCCUAAUAGAUAGCCGAGAUGAGAACGGGCCUGGGACCAAUUGGUCACCAGAAGCCUCAGUAGCACCGGCCUCAGUAGGAGGUCUCAGGUUUGAUCCCCUUUGGAAGUGGGUUUCGGGGGGAUUUUCCAGGAAUUUUCCUGGACUGCUGCAGCCUCAACACGUGCUGGGAACUGGUGUCCAAGACCAUCUUUUCAAGGCAGGCAUGUAAGUGUGAGUGUAGGAUGUAGGCUUUAGCUUGCGCAUAGGUGUGUGGGUGUAGUGUUGGGUGCGUGUGUGGGGUGUGUCUAUGGAUAAGUUCGGAUACUACAACUUGUAGUCUCAUAAGCGAGGCUAUCUCAAAAAAAAAAAUAGAUAGCCGAGACCAUGUUAUGUUACAAACACCUGCAUAAUUUCUGUAUUGUAUUAACCAGUUUCAUCCAUGGUUCCUUGAUUUUUGAAGCUAGUAACCAGAUUUUUACACAUCCAUACCUAUUCUAUAUGUUGCUAAAUGUCCUUUUAGAUUCUUCUACUAUACUGCAGGUACUGGUGGUGCUGGUCCAACAAUACUGACAACAAGUUUCCUGCUUCUUGGGGAGGAUGUAAUUGCAUAUAACAAGGGUACCUCUUAUUUCUUCGUUUGCUUAUUUAUGGUGUUCCUCGGGGAAAUCUUAAGUGUGUUACUAAUUCAGGAGAAGAAAUCAAAUUGAAGCCCUACAGUGGAGCUCUGAACAUUGAUUUCGGAAAGGGGGUCAGAAAGAAAAAUGUUUACUUAUUGUAAGUAUACUUUGGGCCAUAUUUUUCUUUUCUAUAUCUUAUAAUUUAUAAAACUGAACAUCCAUGAGGAGUAAAUUUCACAUUACAUUAUCUAUUCCAGGAAUUUGCCUGAAGUGAAGAGUGCUUUUAAGAUUUUAGGUGUGCCGACUGUUAGUGCCCGAUUUGGUACUGCUCCUUUCUUCUGGAACUGGGGAAUGCAGGCUUUCACGAACUUUUUACCUGCCGUAUGUCUUUCCCUCAGGUUAUGCAUUAUAUAAAGUUAAUUCAUUUGAGCGUGUUUAGUUAUAGUUGCUACUGGUAAUAUUGUAAUAAUAAUAGCAGUUGCAGACAGCUAUUAGCAUUUAUCUUCCUGCAAUUAUAACAUUUAAUCAGUAGUUCCUGCAUUAAAGUUAUAAACUUUAUGGUUUGCUGUUGGGUGGAAUUGAGAACCUGUACAUGACAAUAUUCGGAUUCAGUUCAUGUUAAUUUGACCUGGUCCUAUCUUGGUCCUCAUCAGGAGUUCUUGAGGGACAAAAGUAAGGUUCAGAAGUUGGUUGAGUCUGUUGAUCCUUUGGUUCGAGCCGUUGAUGGCAUUGCAGGAGAGCGUGUCUCCAUGAGAGUAUGUUCUUCAGCUGUGUCAAGAGUAGUGAUGGACUACUAAUGGACAUUGUCUGAUAAAAUUUAUUUCAUUUCUGUAGGUAGACUUGGAGUGUUCAAAUGGGCGCAAUACCAUUGGAUUAUUCACUCAUAAAAAGCUAUCUGUGUAAGUACAGAUCAUAAGAAGUUGAGCAUCCUUGCACAAUACCUCUGUUGUCUAAUAUUCUAAUUUUUUUAAUUGUCUGAUUAUUUACAAAUGCAAAGCUUCAGGUGUACUUUAGAUUAACUUUGUCCAAUUUUUUAGAAAAAGGAAAUGUUUCCGACCUCAGAUUAACUUUGUCCAUGCCACAUCAAUAUUGAUAGUUUCCUUGCUUUCCAAAUUAACCUAUGGAAACCAUCUGUUUCUAUCUUUUGCCUCAAACUGGGAGAAUGUGUACUUCAGAUUUUUUGUUUUAUUUCCAAUCCCUUACAAUGUUAGUGUUAGCUUUACAUUUGUAAUCUAGCAUCACCGUAUUGACCAGGCAUUCAUAGUUAAAAUUAGCAAAGAAGUUAACGUAUGGUUAAUUUGAGAAGUUCUCGUGAGCUCUUCAGUUUCUUUUACCAGGUGACCGAGAUUACUGGAAAUACACUAUGUGUAAGGAAAAUGGCUGUUAUGGCAAGUGGGCCGGCCGCAGGCCUAGGCCCAUGAGUACUGUAGCUCGUGAACAGUAUCAAGAGGGGAAUAAGAUUGGUUUGUUAGCAGGUCAUUAGAGAUAAGGUUAUUUAGAUUAGAUUGGGUUUGUUAGGGAGUUGGCUAUAUAAGCACAGCCGCACCAUCCAUUGUAAUCAAGCAAGAAGAACCCUAAAAGUAGUCAGAGCCUCCAAGGGAGGGCGACGAAUAGGUUCUUCGUGCUAUCCCUAGUUCUACCAUAUCAUUUGGUAUUCAGAGCCUUAGAUCCUACGACCCUGCCAUCACCAAAUUUUUUCCACCCUGCGCAAGAUUAGAUUGAUCCCACAAAUCCCCCAAAACCCACCCACAAAUUGCAUCUUCGCAUCAACAAUCAGCCAUGGCAGAUUUCACCACCUUGGUUGAGGGCAUCAGAUGCGUGUCCAACGAUGUCAAUCACGUUUCGGAAGGGCUUGAUCUCUUCGCCCACAACAUACGUGAGAUAUUCGGCGAGCUCCGUGAGGAGUUACUGCUCCUGAAGGACAAGAUCGUAGUGCCGCCAGUGAAGACCCAACUUGCUGCAACCGCGACGGCCAUGGCAACAUCGUCCUCACCGGCCACGGCAACAUCUUCCAAUCUGCUGGCGGGGACUGUCUCCACUGUUGAUACGGUGGAAGAUUCAUACAUCGUCGUUGCUGCCUCACCGCCAACUUCUACGGCUUCCUUACCGACGAUCGUGGCAGCAUCUUCUCGAGUAGCAUCACUUGUGCCGCUAACCCCCGCAGCACCAUCAGUGGCAACGCCUUCUCCUCCAAGGGCAUCGUACCUAAUUCAAGCCACUACAUCGAGUCCGCCGGCGGCAUCUACACCAACAGUACUACCGGCCUACAGCAACCACGCGCGCAAGGGCCACAAUCCUCACCCGCUGAAGCUACGACUCGCCAUCCUACCCGGUGUGCGGACCUGUGUGUUCCCCUACCGGCACCAUCCUUGGCGCGCCCGCAGGCUAGCCAGCCUGCCUACCAGCGCCGCCUCUGGCACGCCCGCGGGCCAGCAUGCCAGCGCCACAUCUGGCACGUCCGUGGGCUGACCUGCCAGCGAUGCCCCGGAGCCGGCAGGGGCACCGCACCUGCCAGUCGUGGCUUCGACGGUCGCCUCGAUGCCCGCAGCAUCGGCCUCCUCCCCGGACACACUUUUUCAACAUGCUCGAGCCUCCCAGUAGCUCAGAGACUCCGCAGACCUCCCGACCUGGUGCAGUCUUCACGCCACCAUCUGCCUAUAGCUCGUCCAGGCCUUCAACUACGUCUGCUCAAGUGUGCUUCAUCGCCACCGGGUUCCAUCCACGUAUGGUCUGCAGCUGUGAGCAUUGCCAUAGCUCGAGGAUGAGCUGUCUUCGAGGGGUGGUGAAGUGUUAUGGCAAGUAGGCCGGCCGCGGGCCUAGGCCCACGAGUACUAUAGCUCAUGAUCAGUACCAAGAGGGGAAUAAGAUUGGUUUGUUAGCAGGUCAUUAGAGAUAAGGUUGUUAGAGAGAUAAGGUUAUUUAGAUUAGAUUGGAUUUGUUAGGUAGCUGGCUAUAUAAGCACAGCCGCACCAUCCAUUGUAAUCAAGCAGUAAUCAAGCAAGAAGAACCCUAAAAGUAGUCAGAGCCUCCAAGGGAGGGCGACGAAUAGGUGCUUCCCUUGUUAUACCAUAUCAAUGGCCCUAGGCCAUAAUGAUUUCGAUGAUUAAUGACAAUAUAGUCAUUGGGACUAAUGUGUUUGCAAGAUGUACCUUUGUAGGUGUUUUAUAGGUUCCAAGGAUGAAAUACAAAACCAUCAAAUGAUAGCAAAAUCCAGAGAUAGUCUUAUUCUAAGACUCUCAAAUGAUGGUAAUGAAGCCGGGACAAAAACACGCGAAGACUGGAAGAGAAUCCUGAUGGGAAUUACCACCGACGCAAUCCACCAAUUCGUAUGGUGGUGACCAAGUAUGGUCACUGAAUCAAUCGGUGACAAGUAGUAGGAUAGCAGCAGGGCCAAGGCAAUGGUCACCAGAUCAACCGGCACGUAGAAGAUCAAGCCACUGAAUCAAUCGGUGAAUCAAUCGGUGACAAAGAUGACCAAGGUAGCGUGUACUGUGACCACCGACUCAUUCGGUGGGCACAGAGGAUCACCACCGAAUCAGUCAGUAUAAUCGGCUUGUUUUAGGAUCAGCUCAAAAUCGGCUCUGUCUACUUUGGAGUGAUUUUAGAGCCACACCAAUUCAUAUGGUGGCUCAAGGAGCAGGGCAACAAUUGAGUCGGUGAAGGAGGAAGGCAGCAGCUCAAGACAGUCGCCGACACAUACGGUGAUAGUUAAGAUAGGGCACACUGAAUCAGUCGGUGACCCAGGCCCAGGCAUCAAUGGGCGUUGGCUGCCCAACGGCUAGUUGAGGUGGCAUGCACUAACUCAUUCGUUGACCACCCUUGUAUACCACUGAAUCAAUCGGUGCUACGCAGAAAGUUGUAACAGCCGGCAACGGCUAGUUUAUUAAGUUGGGGCUAUUUAUACCCCAUUGCCCGACCAUUUGAAGGGUGUUAGAGCUUGGAGAAGCUAUAGGCUUGGUUCUCACGUACACACAAGUGCUCUAUCCACCAAAAUGCUCAAGAGAAGAUUAAGGCAAUUAGCAUAAGGCUUAGAUCUUGAUUAGUGCUAGUUUAGGCCUAUUAGUGCAUUGCUUUAGGAUUUAGCCUAGAGUUAGGCAAGGUUUGCACACCUCCUUUGUGUUGGUGCUUGCGCGCACAAGAGUUGUAAAUCCGGAGCUUGUAAGUCUUGCAAAACCCUCCAACCGCGUUUGUGGAGUGGCCGUCGGUGCUUGUGAUAGGGAGGAGAGGCUCUAGGCGUUUUGCCGAAGCUUUACCAAGUGAAGAGCGGCAAGGAGCAUCCGGGAGAGGCUAGGCGGAGACCCACUUGCGCGUGGGGAAGGCCCGUCGGCUAUCCUACGGAGUUACUUGACCGGGGAGCUUAUGCCCUUGCGCGGGCAUUCUCUUUGAGAGGGGUUCCAACAACGAGGAUAGUGCAGUAAAAAUCGCCGCGUCGUCACGCCGGGAGUUUGCCUUCUCUACCUCAUUUACCCUCCGCAUUUCUUAUUGCACUUACUUUCCACAUUUGCCUUUCCUAGAAUUGCCAUGUGUAGUUUGUAGGAUUAGAAUUUAGAGUGCAAAACUCUUUUGCGGUAGAGAUAACAACACAUAGAAAAACCUAGUGCACAUCUAGAUAGAAAUUGGAUUAAAUUUUUAUAUAUGCUUGGAGGCUUAGUUUUUAGAACAUCCAAUUCAUCCUUUUUUUUAGUGUGUUGCGGUCCCUUCACUCUGCACUGCACUAAGCAUAUGCUAGAUUGAAUUUUCAGAUCAGUGGGCUUCGGAACAGCCGCGUUUGCUUUAGCGGUUCUUGAGGGCAACACACAGCCAGGAGUUUGGUUUCCAGAAGAGGUGAGUAAUGCUUUAGUACAAUAGCCCUAAAAAAUGGUUUAGUACAAUAAAAACAUGAAAAGGAAAGUCAAGAAAUGACUUCAUUUCGCAAACUAAACUACGUCAAAUUGUUAUAAUGCAGCCAGAGGGAAUACCAAUCGAAGCAAGGAAGCUGCUUCUUGAGCGUGCAUCUCAAGGGACAAGUAACUUCGUGAUGAACAAGUGAUCUCUCCUUUUCCCAACCUCAAAAACAGCAUUAAUGUUCCAAAUCGUGUUUUGUUUGAGCUAACAUGUGAAUUGGCAGGCCUUCCUGGAUGGUAGAAACUGAUCCAAAGGAAGUCAUCCUAGGAAUCUAUGUGUGAGAAGAUAUAAAUGUGCUUAAAUUUCCUGGAUGCUGGACAAUGGCCAACUAAAUAUUGGAGUAAUUUACCAGCUGCGAGAAGUUGAAUGCAACAGCCAGCAGCAUGUUGAAGCCCCCCAGAUUGAGCAUGAUGUUUUUGUAUGACUAUUUGGGCUAUUUUAUGUUUGAAAGGGUUGUACAUGAAAAAUGAUGGUUAUAAGAAAAAAGAAUACAGGUGAAUAAAAGCAAUUUUGUGCAGCACACAGAUGAUAAACUUGUACGCUGGCAGACGCAUUGUCUGUGCAACAACCUUACCUAAAAUUCAUUUGACGUUCAUCGCUCCACUGCCACCAUCACCAACGGUUGCCAACGACGCACGUCGUUCUUGCGCUCGCUCCAAACAGCGCCCACGGCGACGCAACACUUUCACCGACAUCCCUCGGCGAGAGCGGUAGCCCGUAGCCCCCUAGGCGAUAAGCCCACCGGAAUGGCCACCAUGGGCGUGGUCAGAGCAUGCGCGCCUCCCGCCCCCGCGCCCACCGCUCCAUCAGCCGACGCUGCCAAGAGGAAGCCCUCCAGGAGCGCCCGCGUGCUCGUGCUCGGCGGCGCCGGCCGCGUCGGAGGCUCCACGGCCACCGCGCUCUCCAAGCUCCGCCCUGACCUCAACAUUCUCGUCGGAGACAGGAACCGGUACCCCACCCUCGAUACCAACUCCUCUGAAGUCUGAACCAGCAGCGUGUCCUUAUCUGUUCGUUCUGAAAUAAUAUGCCACUUAUCGGUGGCCCAUUUUGCCAGGGAGAAAGGUGAAUCCUUUGCAGCUAAGCUUGGCGAGAAGUCUGAAUUCGUCCAAGUUGAUAUCCGCAAUGCGAGCUUGCUGGAGAAAGCGCUACAGGGUUAGUAAUGACACAUCCUACUUAUGAUCUGACUAAAGCUCCAAACAACCCUCACCUGACUCCUGAUGUUGUUUGGAGCUUUGCAACAGUUGGAGCCCCUAAACCACUGUUUAAUUUUGCUUGAGGAGAAGAAUAACUACCCGAAAAUUUUCUUUUUCCCUAGGUGUGGAUUUAGUUGUCCAUACUGCUGGACCUUUCCAAAGGGCGGAGGAGUGCACUGUAUUGCAGGCAGCGAUAUCUACUAAGGUAGCACAGAAAGUUCGCCAACAGAAAGAUGCUGUGCUUGAGGCGCAAUUGCGUCAUUUUUGUGAAAUCAAUUGAAAUUUAAGAAAAUGUUACUUACCUGAAAAUGCUAUUGGCACACUUCCUUUUUCUGAGCAGACAGCAUACAUUGAUGUUUGUGAUGAUACUGAUUAUUCAUGGAGAGCAAAAGGUUUCCAUGAACAAGCAAAAGCUGCCGGUAUUCCAGCUAUUACUACUGCUGGCAUAUAUCCUGGAGUCAGCAAUGGUAAUUGGUGUAUUUUCUUUCUGUUGGUAAUUUGAUAUUCAUAAAUUUCCUCGUAUGUGCUUAUUCUCUUUUGACGAAUUGUACGACCACAUUUUUUUGGACGGCAAGUUAGAUAAAUCAUGUGAACUCAAGCUAGUAUGAAGAGGGAAAAUGGGGAAAUAGAUUAAGCAUGUAUGCGCAACAUUGAAAUUAUAGAAAUGAGUUGCUCCCUCUGCACAAAAUGCAUAACAAUGACAUAUCAGGAUUUCGAAGAAAUGACAUUUACUGAUCUUUUCUAUCACAGUGUGCUGCUAAAGGCUCUGGAAAUGUAAUUAAUGUAUUUUUAUGGUGAUAUAUUAGUAUUAUUUGGUUACGUCAAUCUAUAUGCAUUUUCUCAUAUUAGUGUGGUCAAAUUAAAGUUAAAAUUGUAUGACUAGACACUGUCCAGGAAGAAAAACUGCAUACAUUUGUGCACUAGGGAAUGGAGUAAUGGACCAAUGGAUUAUCGUUUAAUUGCCAAACUUAAAUAACAUGUCCUCACCAACUGAGGAAGAGGCUCAAUUGUGCAUUCGUUCUUCCAGUUCCAGGACACAAUGUGAUACAAAUCAAAAUUGACCACACCAAUUUGUGUACAAAUAAUUUAGUGAAUUUUCUUUCAUUAAGUAAUAGAAGUUGCCAUCUAGAAGAGGUGGAAUAUCUUGAAUUUUGUAGUGACUAUUAAUGUAUUGUAUUCUUCUCUGGUGACAGUGAUGGCUGCUGAGCUUGUACAUGCUGCAAGAAGUGAAAAUGGUGAACCUGAGAGACUCAGGUUAGAUUUCUUUUUUUUUUCUAUAAAAGGACAUGUCAAAAUAGUUGUUCAGUGUAUGGAAAGUGUGGAUAUGAUUUUCUGUAAAUCGUACAAGUAUGAUAUGUUCCUUGCUAUAGAUAGGCUGAGAGUAUUCAUGUUAUGUUUACAAACACCUCAUAAUCUCUGUGUUGUAUUAACCACUUUCUUCAAUGGUUCCUUGAUUUAUGAAGGUAGUAAUUAGUGUUUUUACACAUCCAGACC